AUAGACCAAGUCCAAAAUACAGAGUUACCCGCACUGGCGAGUUAAGUAAGCUAUGUACAUAAACUCAGACAAAACAUCUACCUGCAAUAGGGGUGCCUCUAGCUCUAUGAGUCGGGUAGGGCUCUAGCUCGCGACGCCCUUGCCUCGAUCCAGAUCUGCGGAAGGCGCAGCAGCCAAAACCUGUGGCUCUACAAAACAAGAGUAACAACUGGGCGUGAGAACUACUGUAAAAACAAGUAGUAGGAAAUGUCAAAUCUGUCGGAAGUCCUCAGUGGGUACCGCCCAAACCAACAUCGGUCACCCACUAAGUCUACAGAAGGGAGCAAGGAUAGUAGGAAAAGCAGGAAAUACACUCUACCGCUAUCAAUCACUAUACUAUCAUACUCUACGCUAACCAAUUGUAGGAAAUGUCAAAUCUGACCCAAUUCAAUCAGGACUGUAAACAAACCCGUCCCUGGGACUGUAAAUACACCCGUCCCUACCCCGUUGCGACUAUCGGGCUCUAUCCACACUGACUGGUUCGUGGAGAGCAAGUCCAACUGGCAUGAGCGAUACCAACGCGAAAGCACAAAGCCUGACUCCGGAGUGGCACUCGUGGGCGCUACCCAACCGAGUAUGCAGCGUAUCUCUGUCGAGCUCAAUCAGGCUCUCAAUAGCCAAAAUCAAGUAACCGACUCAAACUGGUCUAACAACCAACAGGUAACGUGCCCUCGGCACAAUCUGACGCCAAAAAGGCGAGACGGGUCCACCGUCAACUCUGACGGCACCCAACAGUCCGGAACAACCUGAACGACCCUGUAAAAAUCCACUCGGCAUACCAGCAUGAGCGUAAAUGUAUUCUAAACUACCUGGAGUACUCGUCUUGAGGAUACUGCGACAGUACAAUUUUAUAACGGCUCCUAGAGCUAAAUCAGGCAGUUUAAACAGGUGACAGGUCCAAAUCGCAGGUUUUCUCCUAAUUCAAUUUCCAAGUCCAACAUGUAUAACCUACUUAAUUUAUUACCACAUGCUCCAAACUCAGAUUUGCAAUCUAUCAAAUAAUCCAUGAAUUCGAGCUAGAAUAGAUUAUCAAAAAUCGAGAUCUAUACAUGUCGACGAUUAUGAACUUAGGAGUCAAAACCGAUGUAACCCACCUCGCACGCUAAUCCUCGGCAGCACGGAACUCUCACGGCGGCGAAACAACCUGCUGGAUCGACCAAAAACACCCAAGUCUCGAAAUCGAGCUAACUCCAAACUAAAAACACCAAAAAUCCUCAAUUCAGUCCAAAAUCCACAGCAGCAGAGAAGAGAAGGAUUUUGACCAAGAUAACUUUUACUAAAAUUCGCAAGUGAGGGCUUCGUGGAUUCCUCUCGAAGUCCCGAAUCCAACGAAUCAAGUCUCGUCGCAAUCCGAUGCUCCUACGUCGAGAACAAGCUGAAAUACUAACAGUCGACGACAAGAUCCUGCGAAUCAGCACUUAAGCUCGAAUUAAUGAUACCCGAGGUAUGCGGAGCAAUUCCACAGAACACUCACCUCAAUAGAUCCUCAAGAGUCGGCGCAAUGUCGAGGAUGACGGAAAUCCACGCUCGCCCGAGCUCCUCACAGCACCAAGACGACACAACGUGCGCCCGAACGGCUCCGCGGCACCACGUCGGCGACGAAACUCCACCCGAGCUCCACCCUAGCCUACGAUCGGUUUGAGAGUGAGAGAGAGGAAGUAGCAGCAGAGGAACUCCCUCUCUCUGUCCUCACAAGGCUAAAUAGAGAGAGGGAGGACUGGUGAUACAAACGAGGGAGAGAAAAGACCAAAACACCCUCUCACCUACCCUGGUGUACCGGUACAGGAGGCCAACCCGAGAGCAGUACGCGCUCAACCAGUAUAGUGUACCGGUACACCUCGCUGGCUGUACCGAUACAGCAAGCAGGAAAAUCUGCUAUUUCGCAGAUUUCUUCGCUGAAGGCUGCCCUCGCGUCGCACGAAGUCCGUUUUGCGUCUAUUUGACGCCAACGCGACUCGGACUUGUCCCGACACUCUCUAGAGCUGUCGACAAACCUCCAUAGUCAAACACCAGGGAUCUCACAGUGAGUGACUAGCCAAGAAGGCUCAGCGACUCAACAAAUGCUCACGAGGCACCGUCGGAAGAAUUCCAAACUAAAAUCGCAUUCCGUCGGCAGAUUUUGUCGACAAACGCACCGAAAAUGCAUUUCCGAUCUCCACAAGGGCUUGGGCCUUGGACAAUCCGUCCAGAGGUUACCCACAACCCACACAUCCUGUCAAUAGCAGCCACAACGAACCAAGAUGCAUAAAAGCCCUCCCGAUCGUGUUAUUUCAUGCGAUUUCCGGGCUUUUAUGGUCCGACCGUUCAAUCCGAUAACCUUUCAGUUCAGCUGAGACACCUGCUGAUAGGUCUCGGCGUGCCGGAGGCCGUGCUCACCUUUCGGAGCACUGCCGGCCACUAAGGCGGGCGCACGAGCGAUGCGAAGAUCUGUGAAACAGCGCGCACAGUGCCAAAAUCGAGUCUAAUACACCAACCAGGCACCUUUAACCCUGACGGAGGUGAGCACGAUGUUCAGCACGAAUCCUAGAUCAUCGUGCUCACUUCCCGGGGUGUCCGGGAGUCAUCGGAUCACCAGAAAGGUGACCGGAACCCUCAAACAGUGCGCUACAGACUAAUUUACUGCUUACCAGACCCGAGGGAGCUAGGGUUGGUCGUCGGCGGCCGGACGACGGGCGCUCCGGUCGGGGAAUGGUGCGGCCGGUCGGAGAGGUCCGGGGCAGGCGCUGGCCGGCGGCGAGAGGCGGCUGGAGGCGCGGCGGCUGCGAUCCAAUCCGUCAAGCUACUCUCGGGUUCAAGGGCGCCAGCGGCAAGGCGACGGCCGGAGGAGCUCGGGGCGACGGCGAUUCAUCGUCGGAGGCCGAGGGAGUGGUGGUGCGCCCCACUGUGGGCGGCGGCGACGCACGGUNUGGUGGGGUCUGGGGCACCCGCUGGCCGGCGGCGGAAGGUGGCCGGUGGCACGGCGGCGGAGAUCAAGUCCGUCAAGUUCCUCUCGGGUUCAAGGGCGCCGGCGGUGAAGCGGCGGCCGGAGGAGCCCGGGGCGGCGAUGGUUCGUCGCCGGAGGUCGAGGAGGAGGUUGAGCUCGCGACGAUGGACGGCGGCGUCGUGCGGUGGCCGAGGUGGCUCGGCCUCAGCCCGCACAAAUUCUGGGCGGCCGCAGAGUAGAAGAGCGGCGGCCAGCGGCGCACGGGGACGGUGGGGAGGCGCGCGGGAGGUAGCCGGAGGUCGCCGGAGGCUGAGGGAUGACAGCGCGGCCGAUCUGGAGUGGCGGCGGCGCGCGGGCCUCGAGCCCACCCGUGCUCGGUCUGGGCUGACUGAGGGUGCCCGCAGGGAGCAGGGGCGGCGCCGGCGGCCCACGGGGAUGGCCGGGGCCGGCUGGGGAGAUGCCGGAGAUAGGUCUCGGCCAGGGGACGAAAGAUCUCGGGGUUUUUACGCUUCCCCGAGGUCAACACCGAGAAGAAGGCAAGGUGGAAGGAGGGCGUGCACACAGGCAAGGUAGAGAGGUUCCGCGACGGCUAGGGUAGCUGGGUGGACUUGGGUAGCAAAAGGGUCAAGAAAACCCUAGCUGCCAUAUUUAUACUAAAUGUUCUAUUUGCCGAAAACCCCUCUAAAGCAUAAUAUUUACAGUCCAGCCCCUGCCAAUGUGUGUAACUUGCGCGCACGUACCCCAACGUUCGAAAUCACGCGAAACGACGCAUAAAAUAUUGGACAUUUUCGCGAUUUAACCAUUUUGCCCAUUUGACCUCUCAGCGAACAUCUCGCUUUUUCCAAAGAUCCGUCGGUCGGAUUUCCGAUUGGAUCACGCCAGCGCAUUCAGCAUGACCGGGGCAUCGAAUCUAGUAUUUCGUUUCAUCUGAUUUGAUCUCCGGUUCACGACGAAACCCACCCUCAAUGAGUCCACCAAAUAGCCACAUAUUUAUAUAUGUAAAACCGAUCAAACCCCCUUUUCUUGACAACCGUGCAUCAGAACCCAAUUCCGUCAGUGCCAUUGGGUCCAGAAUAGUCGAGCCGUUCGAAACGAGCUAUUGGAUCGCUAUGAACGGAGUCCGAUACAUGCCGAAAGCCAACUCUACUCCGUAGCUUCUCCGAAAAAUCGGAGUUACUAUUCACUUAAGUGAAAAUUAAAGAUCGCGUAACUUCUCCGUUCUAGCUCAUUUUCUCCUAAAACUUGACAAGUGCUUAUGUAAUUAAAUUACACACAUAAACAUCGUCAACGGAGAGUUUAGUUGUAUUGUCAAAAUCUUAGUCCUUACACGAAUGUUGUCCGAUUUCUCGUUCAUAGCCCCACCAACGACGAGCUGCAAUCAAUAGCCAAUAGAUUUUGUGGAGAAAAUUGGAAAAAGAUUAUUUUUUCUAAAUUUUUGGAGAUUAUGGCUCAUCUUAUGAAGGUAUGACUUUUUUUUCUAAGAGAUAGGUAGCAUACUACCCGCUUUGUUUAUUUCAUUUAGAAAUAAACUUAGCUAGAAAUGUGAAUCAAUUAGGAUUCGAACUUGAGACCUCAGGUACCAAUCACCAAGCUCUUUGCCACUUGUGCUAGGGACGGUCGGUUAUGAAGGUAUGAUUUUCAUGCUGGAAAUCCAUUUUCUUUCUUUUUCUUCUUCUCCUUCUUCUUAUAAUUAUUUGUUCUUCUUCUUCUUCUUCUUCUUCUUCUUCUUCUUCGUUUCCUACUGUCUGCCGCGAACGAACCGGCCCUGCCGUAGGUUGUUUCUGAAGCGAGUGGUCAUUCAUAGUAGAGAUAAAAUUUAUUUAUAUUUUAUUUUGAAAUCAGGAUUAUAGGUUCAUGGCUUCCAACAAACUCAAAAAUCUGCUGUUAAUUACCCCACACUUUCGGUGUUAAGGAACCCUCGAUUAAGAGACCAAAUAUAAAUGCUGAUAAUAAAAGAGACAAAACAGGCAAAUAAAAUUUUAUUGAUAUGAUUUGCCGUGUACAUGGCUUAAGCAGGGGCAUACCCCCACUGUACAUGAAUUUAGCGACUAGAAGGUCGAUUGAAGUUUUGAUGCUCAGUUUAAUGACAUGACGGUCGGUUUAAGUUUGGUGCUCAGUUUAAUGACAUGGCGGUCGAGUUCACCUUGGUUGUAUAUUCCAAGGUGGAGAUGUGACCAAACCCCAAGUAUAUGUAUUGAGGUAGAUUGGAUUUGAUAUUAUCCGAAAAUAGAGAAUGGCUAAUUCCUGAGUGUAUGGGUCAGGAUUAACCGAGUUUAAUAUAUUUUCACUCUAGUUAUAUGUGCUAGAGUGAAGAUCUAACUAAGCCCUAAGGUAUUGCGUUAGGGUUCAUCGGAUUUGAUUCGUAUGAGCUCCAAGUAUAUGUAUUAGAGCUCGAUCGGGUAUGGAUUUCACUCUAGAUAUAUGUGCUAGAGCAAAAGGCUGACUAGACCCGAAGUAUAUGGGUUAGGACUAGUCGAGCAUGGUUUGACUUCCAUUCUAGGUAUAUGUGCUAGAGCAAAAGACUGACUAGACCCUAAGUAUAUGUGUUAGGGUUAGUUGAGCAUGGUUUGACUUUCACUCUAGGUAUAUGUGCUAGAGCAAAAGGCUGACUAGACCCUAAGUAUAUGGGCUAGGGUUAGUCGACCAUGGUUUGACUUCCACUCUAGGUAUAUGUGCUAGAGCAAAAAACUGACUAGACCCUAAGUAUAUGGGUUAGGGUUAGUCGGAUGAACUCUAAGUAUAUGUGUCAGAGUUUGAAAAAACUUGAUAUCAUUUGACUGAAUUCUAAGUAUAUGGCUUAGAAUUGUGUCGAUUUGGAGAUGUUUUGCCUUAGUUAUAUGUGCUAAGGCGAUUGACUUAGCCCUAAGUAUAUAUAUUAGAGGUAGUCGAUAUUUAAUUUUCACUCUAGGUAUAUGAACCAGAGUAGAAAAGGUUCAUGAUGAACUUGGAUUUAGUUUAAUGACUUUACGGUCGUUUGAUUUUGGGUUUAGUUUAACGACUUUACGGUCGUUUGAAUUUGGGUUUAGUUUAACGAUGUUUCGGUCGUUUGUAUUUGGGUUUAGUUUAAUGACGUUUCGAUCGUUUGAAUUUGAAAUUAGUUUAACGACUUUACGGUCGUAUGAAUUUAGAUUUAGUUUAACGACUUUACGGUCGUUUGAAUUUGGGUUUAGUUUAACGACUUUUCGGUCGUUUGAAUUUGGGUUUAGUUUAACGACGUUUCGGUCGUUUGAAUUUGGGUUUAGUUUCACGACUUUCGGUCGUUUGAAUUUGGGUUUAGUUUCACGACUUUUCGGUCGUUUGAAUUUGGGUUUAGUUUCACGACUUUUCGGUCGUUUGAAUUUGGAUUUAAUUUAACGACGUUUCGAUCGUUUGAAUUUGGGUUUAGUUUAACGACGUUUCGGUCGUCGUUUGAAUUUGGGUUUAGUUUAACGACUUUUCGGUCGUUUGGAUUUGGGUUUAGUUUAGCGACUUUUCGGUCGUCGUUUGAAUUUGGGUUUAGUUUAACGACUUUUCGAUCGUUUGGAUNAAGUAUUUGGUAUUUAGUUCAAGCACUUGGUUUGUGAUGCUUGGUAUGGGUUCAAGUACUUGGUAUUUGGUUCAAGUACUUAGUAUUUGGUUCAAGUACUUGGUACUUGGUUCGAUUCAAAGGUAUAGGUUCAAGUACUUGGUAUUUGGUUUAGGGUGUAUAGAUUGGAGUACUUGGUACUUAGUUCAAGUACUUGGUACUUGGUUCAGGUACUUGGUAUAGGUUCAAGUACUUGGUUUAGGGUGUAUGGAUUAGAGUACUUGGUGGUGGGUUCAAGUAUUUGGUACUCGGUUCAGAUAUUUGGUUUAAGUAUGUGGGUUGUUUAGUUUAGCGACUUUGCGGUCGUAGGUUUUGGGUUUAGUUUAACGACUUUACGGUCGACUGAAAUUGAGAUGUUCAUGAAACUGAUUCAUGAAAUUAAUUCAUGUUAGGAGCCCAUUUGUAAAGUCCAUUGAAUUAAUUGAUAAAAUUAAUUCAUGAUAGGGGCCAUUUAGAGAACCCAUUGAAAAAAAUUAAUUUAUGAUAAUGAGCCAUUGGGAAGGCCAAUUAGUUUAUGAAAUUAAUUUAUGACAAGGAGGGCCCAUAAAAUUAAUUCAUAGAAUUAAUUUAUGAUAACGAGUCCAGUUGAAAAGCCCAAGAAAUUAAUUCAUACAAAGGGGACCGUUUGGCAACCCAUUAAUUUAUGGAAUUAAUUCAUAAUAAAGGGGGCCCAUUUAGAAAGCCCAAGAACUCGGUUUGGGUUAGAGGUAUUUGGAUGACAUAGAUUUAGUAGAUUUGGUUGGGUUUUAUUUGUGGACUUUGAAUUUUGGGUCUCAUUUGUAGACUUCGGGUUUUGGAAUUUUAUUUGUGGACUUUGAAAUUUUUGGGAUUUUAUUUGUGGACUUUUGGAUUUUUGGGAUUUUAUUUGUGGACUUUGGGAUUUUGGGGAUUUUAUUUGUGGACUUUGGGUUAAGAAAUUCAUUCACAUGAAUUUUUUUAUUGGUUUUGGACCCAAAUCUGCAUGUGGGUUGAGCUAGACUGCGGGCUUUGCAUGUUCUGGGCCCGAAUCCGUAUGUGGGCUAGAUUUUUAUUGAUUUUGCAUUCAAAAUUUGCACGUGGGCUGGAUUUCGGGCACUACAUGUUUUGGGCUUUGGACCCGAAUUUGCAUGUGGACUGAAAUCAGUCUUGCACUUUACAUGGUCUGGGCCUUGGGCUCGAAUUUGUAUGUGGGCUCUGCAUUAUUUUUUUUUUUGACAGCUUAUGAAGUUGAGCCCGUAAUGGAUUGAACCAUUUUCAAAAUAAAGCAAGUCCAAUUCUUCAAAUUCUUUUCUUUUCUUUUUUUCUUUCUUUUAAGAUUGCUUGUNAAUAACUUUGCAAUUCAAGUAGUUUGAUAAGUUAAUAAUAAAUUUGUCAUUUCAAAUAUAAAGUAUAUAAUAUUAUAAAUCUAGAUAAGUUAGUGGCAAACCCAUCUGAACCUAAUUUUGUUCAGAUGGCAAGCGGGAAAGGGCUUAGUAAUUUUGUUAAAAUUCAGAAGAGUCCUAAACUUAAGUUUCUAAUUUUUUUUAAAAAACACAAAGAUGAAGAUGAUAGUUAAUCGGUGGAGAGAGAGAGCGAGAGAGAGAGAGAGAGAGAGAGAGAGAGUUGGGUUUGAGUUGCAACCCAACUCUCUCUCUCUCUCUCUGUACGACACUGAGAAACACAGAGAGAGGGAGGGUUGCUCUCCUCUUUUUCUUUCUUUUUUUUUUUUUUGCUGUUUCUUUUUUUUUUUAUAUUCAUUGUUUUUGUCCAAAUAAACGAAAUUGAUCACGUCGAGCCAUACAAUUGAAUCGAACAAAGAUGGCGAAUCGAAAAGAACCUGACCAUUUUUUAUUAUCAUUUAUUUUAUCACGUUUUGUUCAAGUACGCGGAGUUUAAUCGUGUCGAGCCUAUCACGAAGAUGGCCGCUCGAUUAACCAUUUUGAUCAUAUCGAGCCUAUCACGAAGAUGGCUACACGGUUUACGCUUUCGACCAUGUCGAGCUUAUCGCGAAGAUGGCCACACAGUUUUCGUAACAAAAUAAAUGAUGCUCGAUCACCUAUUUUGACCAUGUCGAGCCUAUCACGAAGAUGGCCGCACGGUUUACGUAAUAAAAUAUCCGGUUCGAUCAAUCAUUUUGACCAUGUCAAGCCUAUUACGAAGAUGGCCGCACAGUUUGGAGAUUAGCGGUGCAUACGCAAGGCGGAAGUGACGAUUUAAUAUCAAAUUUGGUCGGUUCGAAACCUAUCACGAAGAUGGUCGGGUUGAUCAAAUUGACAAAAAAACGCACUUACGCUAUGCGUAUGCAUGCAUUUCUCCUAUUGUUGUAGAAGUCGUCGUGAUUGUCGUUAGGGAAGUCGCCAAGAUCGCCGCCGCCGUUGUCGUUGUCGUCGUCAUCGUCGUCAGAAUCGUCGUAACCGUCGUCAUCGUGAUCGUGCUUCAACACUUUUCUCCUUUUUUUUUUUUUUUUUUUUUUUUUUUUUUUUUUUUUUUUUUUUUUUUUUUUUUUUUUUUUUUUUUUUUUUUUUUUUUUUUUUUUUUUUUUUUUUUUUUUUUUUUUUUUUUUUUUUUUUUUUUUUUUUUUUUUUUUUUUUUUUUUUUUUUUUUUUUUUUUUUUUUUUUUUUUUUUUUUUUUUUUUUUUUUUUUUUUUUUUUUUUUUUUUUUUUUUUUUUUUUUUUUUUUUUUUUUUUUUUUUUUUUUUUUUUUUUUUUUUUUUUUUUUUUUUUUUUUUUUUUUUUUUUUUUUUUUUUUUUUUUUUUUUUUUUUUUUUUUUUUUUUUUUUUUUUUUUUUUUUUUUUUUUUUUUUUUUUUUUUUUUUUUUUUUUUUUUUUUUUUUUUUUUUUUUUUUUUUUUUUUUUUUUUUUUUUUUUUUUUUUUUUUUUUUUUUUUUUUUUUUUUUUUUUUUUUUUUUUUUUUUUUUUUUUUUUUUUUUUUUUUUUUUUUUUUUUUUUUUUUUUUUUUUUUUUUUUUUUUUUUUUUUUUUUGCUACCAACGCGUGGAGGGAGGAGAGGGGUGAAAUCCCCCUGUCCACUAGUAGGAAGGAAUCAACAAAAGGAAAAAAAAAAAUUGUUUCCUUCUUCUUUUUUAAUACUUUUUUUUUGAAGAAUCCAAAUAAGCUAGGAUUAUAUUGGAUUCUUUCUUUUCUUUUUUUUGAAUCUUUCCUUUCUCUAUUUCCUUCCUUCUAUAUUCCCAAAUUGAAUUUCAAAUUUCAAAAUUUUUUUACCCCAACACCUGCUACUUUAGAUAACUAAAACUCAUGAAGAACUAUUCACAGGGGAUUCAAUACUCUAUUUGCAACGCAACAAAAAGGACAAUAAAAUAUAUUUCAAAGUUAAGACUCUUGAUAACCAUAAUGAAGAUAUUCAUCGUAAAAAGAAAUAAGAGCCUAUUUUAUCAUCUCCCUCUGAUACCCUCCUCCAGGUAGCUGCAUCAUCCCCCAUCACUAUUUUCCUUUUACCCUCACAUUCUUGAUCAUUCUUUUGAGAUAAACCAAAAUUUUCUGUUGAAUUAAUUAAUUUAGAUUUCGUGACUCAUCGGCGACAAAUACGGUGAAGUAUAUGACGAACGACAAGCAUGAUGAACUUAAAAAGGCCUUUGCAUUCUUCGACCUCGAUACGGAUGGUGCAAUACAUGCACCGUUCAAUCUACCUCCUAAAACAUUUCUUCAAUUCUGUUUAAAACCUCUUAAUGUUCUAUGUAGGAUUUAUGUUUAAAUUUGUUUAAACAUUUUAUUUGUUCUAUGUAGGAUUAAUCAAUGAUAAACAACUAGCGAAUGUUGUCCGAUUUAUCAGGCGUGACCCUACCAACGACGAGCUACAAUCAUUAGCUAAUAGAAUUAGUGGAGAAAAAUUGAAAAAAGUUUAGUUUUUCUAAAUUUUUGGAAAUUAUGCUUAUCUUAUGAAGGUAUGGUUUUGAUUGCUGGAAAACCAUUUUCUUUCCUUGUCUUCUUCUCCUCCUUCUUCUUCUUCACCUCCCUCUUCUUCUUUUUAUUAUUGUUCUUAUUCUUAUUUUUCUUCUUCUUCUUCUUCUUUUUCUUCUUCUCUUUCUUCUUCUUCUUCUUCUUAUUUGUUCUAUGUAGGAUAAAUCAAUGAUAAACAACAUGCGAAUGUUGUCCAAUUUCUCAGACAUAGCCCUACCAACGAUGAGCUGCAAUCAUUAGCUAAUAGAAUUUGUGGAGAAAAUUGGAAAAUGAUUAGUUUUUCAAAAUUUUUGAAAAGUAUUGCUCAUCUUAUGAAGGUAUGGUAUUGAUUGCUGGAAAUCCAUUUUCUUUCUUUUUCUCCUCCUCCUCAUUAUUAUUGUUUUGAUUCUGCUUCUUCUUUAUUUCCUACUACUUCAGAUAACUGACACUCAUGAGGAGCUCUUCAAGGGGGAUUCAAUACUCUGCUUGCAAUGCAACAUGAAAGGUAAUAAAAAAUAUUUCAAGGUUAAGAGUCUUGAAAACCAUAACGAUGAUGUUCAUCAAAAAAUAAAAAAAGAGCCCAUUUAACUAUCUCUCUUUGAUACCCUCCUCUAGGUAGCUGGAUCAUUCUCGACCAUCAUUUUCCUUUUACACUCAUAUUCUUGAUCAUUCUUUUGAGAUAAACGAAAUUUUUCUGCUGAAUUAAUUUAUUUAGAAUUCAUGGACUUAUCGGCGACAAAUACGGUGAAGUAUAUGACCAACGACGAGCAUGAUGAACUCGAAAAGACCUUUGCAUUCUUCGACCUCCAUACGGAGGGUGCGUUAUAUGCACCCUUCAAUUUAUCUUCUAAAAUAUUUCUUCAAUUCUGUUUAAAACCUCUUAUUGUUCUAUGUAGGAUUAUUUUUGAAAUUUGUUUAAAUAUUUUCUUGUUCUAUGUAGAAUUAAUCAAUAAUACGAAUGUUGUCCGAUUUCCCGGACAUAGCCCAACCGACAAAGAGCUGCAAUCAUUAGCCAAUAGAAUUUGUGGAGAAAAUUAGAAAAAGAUUAGUUUUUUUCUAAAUUUUUGAAAAUUAUAUCUCAUCUUAUGAAGAUAUGAUUUUGAUUGUUAGAAAUCCUUUUUUUUUUUCCUUUUUGCUUCUUCUUCUCCUCCUUCUUUUUCUUCUUAUUAUUAUCGUUCUUCUUCUUCUUCGUUUCCUGCUACUUCAGAUAACUGACACUCAUGAGAAGCUCUUCAAUGGGGAUUCAAUACUCUAUUUGCAAUGUAACGAGAAGGACAAUAAAAAAUAUUUCAAGGUUAAGAGUCUUGAACGCCAUAACGAAGAUGUUCACCGCAAAAAGAAAAAAGAGCUUAUUUAACCAUCUCUCUCUGAUACCCUCCUCCACGUAGCUGGAUCAUCCCGCACCACCAUUCUCCUUUUACCCUCAUAUUCUUAAUCAUUCUUUUGAGAUAAACCAAAAUUUUCUACUAAAUUAAUUUCGUGACUCAUCGGCGAUAGAUACGACGAAGUGUAUGACGAACGACGAGCAUGAUGAACUCGAAAAGGCCUUUGCAUUCUUCGACCUCGAUACGGAUGGUGCAGUACAUGCAAUAAAUUUAUCUUCUAAAAAUAUUUAUUCAAUUCUGUUUAAACCUUUUAUUGUUCUACGCAGGAUUAAUCUUUAAGUUUGUUUAAACAUUUAUUUGUUCUAUGUAGAUUUAAUCGAUGAUAAACAACUUGUGAAUAUUGUCCGAUUUCUCAGACAUAGCCCCACCGACGACGAGCUGCAAUCAUCAGCCAAUAGAAUUGGUGGAGAAAUUGGAAAAAGAUUAGUUUUUCUAAAUUUUUGAAAAUUAUGACUCAUCUUCAUAUAUGAUUUUGAUUGCAGGAAAUCCAUUUUCUUUCUUUUUCUUCUUCUCCUCUUUCUUAUUAUUGUCCUUAUUCUUCUUCUUCUUCUUCUUCUUCUACUUCUUCGUUUCCUGCUACUUCAAAUAACUAACACUCAUGAGGAGCUCUCCAAAGAGGGGAUUCAAUACUCUGCUUGCAAUGCAACAAGAAGGGCAAUAAAAAUUAUUUCAAGGUUAAUAGUCUUGAAAACUAUAACGAAGAUGUUCAACACAAAAAUAAAAGAAGAGCCCAUUUAACCAUCUCUCUCUGAGACACUCCUCCAGGUAGCUAUAUCAUCCCCCACCACACUUCUACUUUUACACUCAUAUUGUUGAUCAUACUUUUGAGAUAAAUCAAAAUUUUCUGCUGAAUUAGUUUAUUUAGAAUUCGUGGACUUAUCGGCGACAAAUACGGUGAAGUAUAUGACCAAGGACGAGCAUGAUGAACUCGAAAAGGCCUUUGCACUCUUCGACCUCCAUACGGAUGGUGCAAUAUAUGCACCCUUCAAUUUAUCUUCUAAAAUAUUUCUUCAAUUUUGUUUAAAACCUCUUAUUGUUCUAUGUAAGAUUAUUUUUGAAAUUUGUUUAAAUAUUUUCUUUGUUCUAUGUUGAAUUAAUCAAUAAUAAACAACUUGCGAAUGUUGCCUGAUUUCCCAGACAUAGCCCAAUCGAUGAAGAGCUGCAAUCAUUAGCCAAAAGAAUUUGUGGAGAAAAUUGAAAAAAGAUUAGUUUUUUAAAAUUUUUGAAAAUUAUGGCUCUAUCUUAUGAAGAUAUGAUUUUGAUUGCUGGGAAUCCAUUUUUUUUUCUUUUUCUUAUUCUCCUCCUCCUUAUUAUUAUUGUUGUUGUUCUUCUUCUUCUUUGUUUCCUACUACUUCAAAUAACUGACACUCAUGAGAAGCUUUUCAAUGGGGAUUCAAUACUCUAUUUGCAAUGCAACGACAAGGGCAAUAAAAAAUAUUUCAAGGUUAAGAGUCUUGAAAGCCACAACGAAGAUGUUCACCGCAAAAAAACGAAGAACCUAUUUAACCAUCUCUCUCUGAUACCCGCCUCCACGUAGCUGGAUCAUCCCACACCAUCAUUCUCCUUUUACCCUCAUAUUCUUAAUCAUUCUUUUGAGAUAAACCAAAAUUUUCUGCUGAAUUAAUUAAUUUAGAUUUCGUGAUUCAUCGGCGAGAUCUACGGUGAAGUAUAUGACGAACGACGAACAUGAUGAACUCGAAAAGGCCUUUGCAUUCUUCGACCUCAAUACAGAUGGUGCAGUACAUGCAAUGAAUUUAUCUUCUAAAAUAUUUAUUCAUUUCUAUUUAAAACCUUUUAUUAUUAUAUGUUGGAUUAAUCUUUAAAUUUGUUUAAACAUUUUAUUUGUUCUAUGUAGGUUUAAUCGAUGAUAAACAACUUGCGAAUAUUGUCCGAUUUCUCAGACAUAGCUCCAUCGACGACAAGCUGCAAUCAUUAGCUAAUAUAAUUGGUGGAGAAAAUACGUAAAAGAUUAGUUUUUCUAUACUUUUGAAAAGUAUGGCUCAUAUUAUGAAGGUAUGGUUUUGAUUGAAGGAAAUCCAUUUUCUAUCUUUUUCUUCUUCUCCUCCUUCAUCUUCUUAUUAUUGUCCUUAUUCUUCUUCUUCUUCUUCUUCCUCAUUCUUGCUACUUCAGAUAACUAACACUUAUGAGGAGCUCUUCCAAGGGGAUUCAAUGCUCUGCUUGCAAUGCAACAAGAAGGGCAAUAAAAAAUAUUUCAAUGUUACUUGUCUUGAAAACCAUAACGAAGAUGUUCAACGCAAAAAUGAAAGAAGAGCCUAUUUAACCAUCUCUCUUUGAUACACUCCUCCAGGAAGCUGGAUCAUCCCGCACCACCAUUCUACACUCAUAUUGUUGAUCAUACUUUUGAGAUAUACCAAAAUUUUUUGUUGAAUUAAUUACUUUAGAAUUUGUGGACUCAUCGGUGACAAAUAUGGCGAAGUAUAUGACAAACGACGAGCAUGAUGAACUCGAAAAGGCCUUUGCAUUCUUCAACCUCGGUACGGAUGGUGUAGUAUAUGCACCCUUCAAUUUAUCUUCUAAAAUAUUUCUUCAAUUCUAUUUAAAACCUCUUAUUGUUCUUUGUAGGAUUAAUCUCAAAUUUUGUUUUAAUAUUUUAUUUGUUCUAUGUAGAAUUAAUCGAUGAUAAACAACUUGCGAAUGUUGUCCGAUUUCUCGGACAUAGCCCCACCGACGACGAGCUACAAUCAUUAGCCAAUAGAAUUGGUGGAGAAAAUUGGAAAAAGUUUAGUUUUUCUAAAUUUUUGGAAUUUAUAGCUCCUCUUAUGAAAGUAUGGUUUUGAUUACAGAAAAUCUAUUUUCCUUCUUUUUCUUCUUCUCCUCCUUCUUCUUCUUGUUCUUAUUCUUCUUCUUCAUUUCCUGCUACUUCAGAUAACAAAAACUCAUGAGGAGCUCUUCAAGGGGGAUUCAAUACUCUGCUUGCAAUGCAACAAGGGCAAUAAAAAAUAUGUCAAGGCUAAGAGUCUUGAAAGCCAUAGCGAAGAUGUUCAACGUAAAAAGAAAGAAGAGAUCUCUUUUGAUACCCUCUUCUAGGUAGCUGGAUCAUCCCCCACCACCAUUCUCCUUUUACACUCAUAUUCUUAAUCAUUCUUUUGGGAUAAACGACAAUUUUCUGCUGAAUUAAUUAAUUUAGAAUUCAUAAAAUUAUCGGUGACAAAUAUGGCGAAGUAUAUGACAGAUGGCGAGCAUGGUGAACUGGAAAAGGCCUUUGCAUUUUUCGACCUAGGUAUGGAUGGUGCAGUAUAUGCACCCUUCAAUUUAUCUUCUAAAAUAUUUCUUCAAUUCUGUUUAAAACCUCUUAUUGUUCUAUGUUGGAUUAAUCUUGAAAUUUAUUUAAACAUUUUAUUCGUUCUAUGUAGAAUUAAUCGAUGAUAAACAACUUGCAAAUGUCAUCUGAUUUCUUGAACAUAGCCCCACCGAUGAAGAGUUGCAAUAAUUAGCCAAUAGAAUUUGUGGAGAAAAUUGAAAAAAUAUUAGUUUUUGUAAAUUUUUAGAAAUUAUGGCUCAUCUUAUAAAGAUAUGAUUUUGUUUGCUGGAAAUCUAUUUUCUUUCUUUUUCUUCUUCUCCUCCUUCUUCUCUUAUUAUUAUUAUUAUUAUUAUUAUUAUUAUUAUUAUUAUUAUUCUUUGUUUCCUGCUACUUCAGAUAACUGACACUCAUGAGAAGCUCUUCAAUGGGGAUUCAAUACUCUGCUUGCAAUGCAAAAAUAAGGGCAAUAAAAAAUAUUUCAAGGUUAAGAGUCUUGAAAGCCAUAACGAAGGUUCACCGCGAAAAGAAAGAAAAGCCCAUUUAACCAUCUCUCUCUAAUACCUUCUCCAGGUAGCUAGAUCAUCCCCACCACCAUUCUCCUUUUAUCUUCAUAUUCUUGAUCAUUCUUUUGAGAUAAACCAAAAUUUUCUGCUGAAUUAAUUAAUUUUGAAUUUGUGGACUCUUCGGCGACAAAUACGACAAAGUAUAUGACGAACAACGAAAAUGAUGAACUUGAAAAGGCCUUUUAUUCUUCGACCUCAAUAUGGAUUAUGCAUUAUAUUCACCCUUCAAUUUAUCUUCUAAAAUCUUUCUUCAAUUCAGUUUAAAUCCUCUUAUUGUUCUAUGUAGGAUUAAUCUUGAAAUUUAUUUAAACAUUUUAUUUGUUCUAUGUAGGAUUAGUCGAUGAUAAACAACUUGCGAAUGUUGUCCAAUUUCUCAGAUAUAGCCCCAACGACGAUAAGCUGCAAUCAUUAGCUAAUAGAAUUUUUGGAGAAAACUAGAAAAAGAUUAGUUUUUAUAGAUUUUUGGAAAUUAUGGCUCAUCUUUUGAAGGUAUGGUUUUGAUUGCUGGAAAUCCAUUUUCUUUCUUUUUCUUCUUGUCCUCCUUUUAAUUAUUAUUAUUGUUCUUCUUCUUCUUCGUUUCUUGGUACUUCAUAUAACUGACACUCAUGAGGAGAUCUUUAAAGGGGAUUCAACACUCUACUUGUAAUGCAACAAGAAGGGCAAUAAGAAAUAUUUGAAGGUUAAAAGUCUUGAAAGCCAUAACGAAAAUGUUCAUCGCAAAAAGAGGAACAUGUGCAAACUCUGUAGCAACGCCUUUGCGUCCAAGAUAGUGCUAGAGUUCCACGAAAUCAAGUAUCAUUGAAUGUGAAGUUGGUACCCCUGCAGAUUAGGAAUGACUUGUUCUCUUGAAGAGAUAAAAGUUCCUUUCUAUUUUGCUUCAUUUUUCUUUUAAACCUCCCUUUGGGAGUGAAACUUAGGAGGGAUUUGAAUACAAUCCAUAGAUUGGAUUAGAAGGGGGCAAUCGUCACCGUCUUGAGCUGCUCAGUCCUAUCCAUUGGAUUUCACUUAAGCCAGAUGCAUCUUGGCCGAUCAAGUUCCCUAACCGCCUUAACCGUGAGUGUCUCUGCAUUAUUUCUUUCUCCUUUGGUAAUGACCCAAUAGUCCCAUAUUGAGUGGGAAACUUGUAGCGCCCCAAUAGUUCCACAUCGGGUGAGAAACUAAUUCUGAUUAGAAUAUAUGAGACCUACAUGCUAGUAAUAGUAACUAGGCUUAAGCAUUUUGUGUUGAUGGUUUGGGCCCAACGAGUUAUUGUUACUAGCGGGUCAGGUCGUUACAAUUGGUAUCAGAGUCGAAUACUAGCCGAAAGUGUGAGAGCUAAGUGCUAUGCAGGGCAAAGUGCUACACCAACGGGUUUGGUGGGAGUCACCUCUUGAACCCGUAGGAGCCACCACUAGAAUCUCACAUCGCCUAGUAAUUCUGGUCCUGGUCUGUUUGUCUGUUAUCUGGUCUAGACCCGACGAGGAUGUCAGGGUCUAAACAGGGGAAGUUUAUAAUGCCUCAAUAGUCCCACAUCGGGUGGAAAACUAAUUCUGAUUAGAAUAUAUGAGACCUACACGCUAAUAAUAAUAACUGGGCUUAAACAUUUUAGGCCAGUGGUUUGGGUCUAACGAGUUAUUGUUGCUAGCGGAUCGGGUCGUUACACCUUUAUUACAGCAUUGCCAUUCAUCCUAACUAUAGAAAAGGGUCAGCUACUGUAAUUAUAUGUAGAAAACUUUAGCAUCAAGUGAUGCUUAUCAAUUGAUGAGAAUGCUCUACUCCUGAAGUUAUACAUACCAAGUUGACAGCACAGAUAUGUUACAUUAAAUUUGGCUAACGCUGGACCGGUAUGUGUGAUAACACAACUAAACAGUAAGUCAAUGCAAGGCCCUGGAUGAACGCAUCCAACAGAAACACAGAAGUCCGUGAUCUCGGAUUGUUCGCUCUCACAUUACACACUGCCUAAGUGAAGCAAGAUUAUUUCACUACAUAUUUCACUGUGACCCCAGAAUGCAAGUUAAUAACUCUCUUAAAAGACAAACUGAAUACUUUACAACAUUUUCCAUUAUACUUAGGAGAACAUAAUAUAUAGAAACUAUCAAAAUGAUCAUUCAAAAAGAAAGGCUUGCAUAGAAGUCCACAUUUUUCACAAAAAAAAAGCUGUAUAUUACAUGUAUACACAUCAAUUGUUUUUCACUGAGAUACAAUCAAGACUAACACGGAAAUGAGGGAGUUCCUCAAUAUUAGUGCGAUGGCGAUUCGCGAAAUGAAUUCAUCGGCUGUAUAUAUCAUCAUCUUCUGAGUCAGAAACCCCCAGCAUAGCAAGGGCUAAGUGACUUUUCACAUCAGACAUCUCCAGUAGACCGUGCAGCCUAGUACUACCAUAUCCAACAAAGCAACCAUGGCCCAUAAAGAUGGGCCAGUCGCCACCACAAUUGCCUUGACCUUGCAAUAUUGCAAUCACUUGAUCAAUGCUUGGUCUUCCGGAAUCCUCACAGCUUAAGCAAGCAGUGGCCGCAUGAACCAUCCGACUCAUCUCAUUUGAUGAAUUUGAGUCGAGCUUUAUCCUUGGGUCAAGCAAUUUCUCCAUGGCUCCUUCGCCUUGCUGCAAAAGCGGCCUAGCCUGUCAAUAAGGGAAAAAUCAGUCUAUAGUAGUGAAAAGGAAAAAAAUGACAUUAGAACUGACGAUUCAUACUACAGAGCUAGUCAAGCAAGUAGGUUAGCCCUUAAUGUAUUAUUUGUGGAAGAUUGGGAAUCAUCUUUUAAGUUGUAAUGCUGUUUCAUGACAUUAAAGGUGAAACUUUUUCCAAGUACAGAAAAAGAAUGUAAAACAUGGUGAAAACUUGGGUGCUGUAGAAACACUGACACUCUCCAUACAAUGGUGUACUAGAAGAUGAAACUUCUUUCUGAAUGAAAUCAUUGCAAGUUUAGCAUCUAAUCCAAAUCAAGACAACUAUCAGUGAAAGGGGCUUCUUUCAGCGGCUGGAAUCCUCUCUCUUCUGAGAGGUAAUCAUUGUUCAGUGGGAAUGUCAGACCCUUGCAACAUCCUCCACCAUUCCAGAAUUCUCAAAAAGAAAAGCAAACAGAUUAUUUUUUAAAAAAAUCAACAAACACAAGCGGAGACACAUUCUACGAUGCGGUAAUCAAAUUGCCUGACAGGAUAAAUAACUUGAUGGCCUUUAUAGUUCUCCAACUUUUUGGGCAUGACUAGUAGCAUGACCAUUUUGCAAGGAGCCUUCAUUUUGUGAACACUUGAGAUAAACCUUUUGAUUUCACUUAGGAAGUGUUUGGAUUAACGCAAUCAUCAUUCUAGUGAGAGUAGAAACAUAGGUUAUUCCACCAACCACAAUACUUCUGAAAAGAUCCACCAGCUAUUUCUAGCAUUCCUUGCCAACAAUUUCCCUUGGGAAUGGUCCAAAGUCACCUUUUGGGGAAAGAACCAAACAGUAUUCCAUAACUAGGCAGCAGCUCAGACCAAUAUUUUCUCUCUUGCUGUACUUUAUUUACAAGCACAUUACAAUUCCAUCAAUCCAAGCAUCCCCUUAUGGGAUGCAGAAAAUACUGCCCUCUAGUUAGCUAGAUCACCAAUUCAGAUGCAGGCUAAAGGGUUCCAUAAUCUACUUCAGAAACGUCAGACCGUAAAUUAAGAUCACUAAUCAGAAAGGAUGCAUAGUUCUUCAUUGUUUUGCCAAGCUUGGAGCGCACAACCAAUGGCUACCCAAUAAGAUAAUUGUACAUUAUUCAAGUAUUGACUUGUAAGACUGAUAGCAAAGCAAAUGCAAGAAAGGACGUUUGCACAAUUGAGACAAUCAACAACACUAGAAUAUGGGACCUUAAAGAAUUUUGCUUCUCUUCCACAUUUUAAGAGCACUUUUCUUCAACAGAAAGGACAAAACUAAAUCCCACAUGAACACAGGGAUGUGACAUAUCUAAUGGAACACAUUCAAUCUAAAAAGCUUAAACCUGGUUCGAGCCCACUAGUAUGCAUAAACCUUUUUAGGUCUAGGCCCAUCAGCAUAUAUAUCAACCCUUUACUCUUUUAUUAAUUAUCAGAGAUGGGUGUAUUCACAUGUGUACUCUUAACAAUCUCUGCCCUUCACAUAUGAACCAAUCAACUCCCCUUUGAACUCUUUUUUUUUUUUUUGAACUCUCUAAGGCUCUAAGCACUGCAUCGUUUUUUGUUUUUUUUUAUUGCACUCUCUAAACAUUGCACCGAGUCACUUUUCGGCUCUUUAUUACAUCACGCCCUUCCACGUUCUUGUUUUAAACGAGUUACCGCGAACCCACUCAUCUGAGUCCAUACGCUUUUAACCAGCACUACUCAGGAAAUCAUCCGAGCCCAAAUGCCAGACUUGGGGGCCUAAUUCUUUUGAGUGCAUCAAACCAUCAUCUCGCGUUUAUCUGAGUCCAUGCGUUACCUGCUUUUCGGCUCUUUAUUACAUCACGCCUUUCCACGUUCUUGUUUUAAACGAGUCACCGCGAACCCACUCAUCUGAGUCCAUGCGCUUUUAACCAGCACUACUCGGGAAAUCAUCCGAGCCCAAAUGCCAGACUUGCGGGCCUAAUUCUUUUGAGUGCAUCAAACCAUCAUAUCGCGUUUAUCUGAGCCCAUGCGUUACCUCAUGCUUCUCAGGCCCAAUUCUUUUGAAUUCACUAAACCAUCAUAUAGCAUUACUAUGACCGCUCGUCGCAAACCUGUCGUAAAGAACAAAUCGCACCACACCAAGUAGAUGAGUAGCUAGAAUCAUCAAAACAUCAGCUCCUAUACCCACUUGUUAGGGAGUUCUGGACGCAGCCCAAGCCCACAUGAGCCCAAUGAUGUGAUAUAUCUAAUGGAAACAUGAAAAAAUGAAAGUAUAUAUCUAUUCUUUACUCUCUUAUUAAUUAUUUGAUGUGGGACUAUUCACAUAUGAUGAUGUUAAAUCUUAACAGUUAACACAUAUAACAAAAUACAGAAGAUUAUUUUUUCUAAACAGACCAUUCCUCUCAUGCCUUAUUGAGCAAAGAAGUUCCCACCAUGUCCUGGAGACGUACUAGAUUUAGAUAUCCCACACUUUGUAAUGCCUCCUCAUGAUUUUGACUUAAACCUUGUGAAUUGUCUUGCUUUUUGCUAGUCAAUAUUCUAUCUUCUGCUUUUAAACAAUUUCAUUGCCAAAAACUUCAGUUCAUAUAAAAUAACAAACUCCAAUACACCAUAUCAUUCCCAUUCAACUUGUUUCUCACCUAAAAUCUUCCUCAUAAUGUCUUCAAGGGAAGACCUGCAUACUUCUUGACAUAAGCUAGACUGGUCUGCUCAUCUGCAUAAAGAAAGUUGUGCUGCCAACCAAAAUACUUAAAUGCAUUCUCCACAAUGAAUUCUCCUAUGAAUUCUUCUCAUUAGAUUGACUCCAUUGGUCAAAUUCAAUAAGAUGAUUGUCAAAAUCAUUUGCUAAAUAGUUGAUCUACAAUUGAUGGGCGAUAUUCUUUAUCAGUCGAAGGAUAAUCUUCACAGGAUUGAUUUCUGCUAAAGUAUAAGAUUGCUCUGCAAUCCCUUUUAAUCACAAUUAUACCCAAUCUUCAUUAGGGAGUAAGUCUAGACAGCAUAGAAGUUUCUUACGCCGGGCUGCCUUUUUCUUUUUUAGGUAAGGAACUAUUUUCUACUUGGUUAAUUACUUAAAAUCAAGGGAUGAUGUAUAAUAUACCCUUCAAAACUUCAAAAAUAUCAAAUAUACCCCUGGUUGACCAAAAUGCCCUUAUUGAUUGCCAAAAACUCCUUCAAAUAUCCCUCAAACCCCAGGAUUUUACUAAUGGGAUUUGAGGUUUAGAAGGGUGUUUUGCGAAUAGAAGGGUAAAUUUAAAAUUUUUUAAUAGUAGAGGGGCAUAUAAGCAAGAGCCCUUAAAAUUAACUAGGGAUGCAAAAGGAUCAGGUCUUAUUGCUAGGCGAGAAAGUUGUAGCUCAAACAGCAACAUCAAAAUUUUAGACAAAAGUCCAGCCCAACCAUUUGUUCAGAUCCCAACCAUGAUCUAGGUCCAGUUUUGUUACAUAGGUUAGGCCACUCUAUAGUUUUAUGAGAUCAUCUGAUCAACAUGAUCUAGAUCCCAACCAUUUGUUCAGUUUGGGUUGGGGACAGACGGUUAGACGUUGCAAACAAAAAUGGCCACGUCGUCCCGCGCAGAAGCAUUAUUGCUGGCAUGCUACACUGACCCUUAUACCAUGACACUGAGCCAGCAAAAGCGUAUUGAUCAUGCUGUUGUCAUGCAACAUCCUACCUUAUAUUGUCAUUGUGUCAUGCUGGAAAACAGCUGCUCAGGUCCCAGUAGGUUUUAGAUUGUAGGAUUAGACAAGAAGGUGAAGAAGAGAAGGGUGUCACUCUAUUGGGAAUCGGUUUACUAAAACAUGCCUGAAACUUACCAUACAACUCUGCUGGAAACCCUAGCAAGAUCCAGCAGUGGAAACCAUGGAAGAUGAGAGGUAAAAUCUAACUUCCAGCAUCAUCAUUGGAAACAUCAUGCAAAGCUUCAAUUCCCACAAGUAGAUGCCCUAUUCUCAUAAGGGUGCUGUUGGGCAGUCGGACAAACUGCCAGUUUCUAAGCAACAUGAAGUUUCUACGCACACAAAGGCCAAGCCGGAAAAAAUCAUGCCAAUAACAAGUUAAUCCGUGGUCGAGAAUACAAAAUCCUCUGCUCUUGAAAAUAGUUUAACUUUGUUGAGCUAAAGACAAGCUUGGAAACAAAAUGUUGAAAAGAAAUCAAUUACUAAAGACAAAUUUGUUGACCAAAGACCAAACCUGAAAAGAAAAUAAUUAAAAGAUGAAUCCAUUACUAGAGACAAAAUAUAAGGUAAUUAGUUGCAAUAUAAGACAAAUUAUUGCAAAUUAGGGUAGUAGCUUGUCCCUGGAUGUAUUAGAACUACGUACUUGAUCCAUUGGUUAGCCUAUUGACAUAUAUGUCCUCAGUUCAUUUCCGUAUCUAACUCUCCGUAAAAGACAUUCCUAAACUACUAGCCUGUGCAGUAAUGUGGCUUAAAAAGAGAUUCCUAAGAAAGCAAGGUGCUUACAUUGACUUUCCUUCCUGGCUUGCUGUAUAUUUCACAUAUGCCUGAGGAGAGGGAGCCAGCGAGUCUGUUUCGCCAAACUGCUCUAACCUAGACUGUGGAAAGCAGUAGAAAAACUGCUUCAAUAUUGAGGUUCGACAUGUAUUGAUCCUAAGACUUCAACCUCUGCUUUCAAAGAGACCUUAUGCAAGAUGGAGUACAAGACCCUACCUUUUGUUCGCUUCAAAAUAUGAUUUAUAAUUAUUUAGAAAGCUUUUGAAUUUCUAAAAACUUUGAAAUAUAUUUUGAAUAUUUUUUGAUUUUUUUAUGAAUUUUUGAAAUAAAAAAAGAAUUAUGAAAAUUACAAAACUAAAGAAAAAUAGAAGAAAAUUUAGAAAAAUAAAAAAAGAAAAAAUAGAAAAGAUCAUCGAGACUCACUCCUAAACCGAACUCACUUCGAAAUCGGACUCACUCUAGAGUGAUGCAUUCAUGACAGAAAAAAAAAUAAAAAUAAAAAUUGCUUGUGCACCAAAACUCCGAUUCAUCUUUUAUUAAUUUAUUAGUAUCAUCAUCACAAAAUGAAGCUCUAUGUCUUACUUAUAUUAUCCUAAGCCUUAACUACGGAUAACCAACUUCAGAUUUAAUCUUAUCUUAAAUAACUAAUUAAAACAAUUUUAUCUAGAUAUUAACUAAAAAAUACAAUUAUACAAAGCUAAAAAUAAAUGCAAAUAAAAUCAAAUAAGCAGAUAGCUAAAAAUCCUUAUUUAACUAACUAAAAGAUACGAUCAACUAAUCUAAUAUAAUUUAAAAGACGAUGAACUUAAUUGGUUUAACCCGAUCAACUAGAUUGGGCCUAGUCAAGUCUGUAUCAAGACCACCGCCGUAGCACUGUAGCAAUAACAGCUACAAAAUGCAAAGAGGAACCUCAGUAAUAACAGCAAGAUAGACAGGGACCCCAUGUAUUAGCUUCUCCUAAAGUAUCAAGGCCAUCGCUGCCAACAACCAGGAGAGAGACCAACCUUAUGCUCUCCCACAAUCUCAUAGCUAGCAACUUUGUUCAUCACUAUGGCCUAGCUUACGGCGACCUACUUAUCCUCUGACUCUGCACUUGAAAGUCUCCACCAAUGCCUCGCCAUGGGCUUCCAAUUCCUCAAUGACAUCAUUCCUCAAUCAAUUACUUCCACUUCAAUGGCAAUCAAGCCAUCCAAAAGAACUUUGAGUGUGCAGAUCGCGUUCCACAUCAUCGACCUCAACACUCUGCAAAGCCUGAAAUGGCCAAGGUUGUUUCAUAUAUAGACCUUAUGGCCGACAGUAAGGCUCACGAGGCCGGGUUCAUUGAUGGAAGCAUAUAAGGCAAUGGGGAAGUGGCUUUACAACUUUGUUAUCACACUCAGGCUGCGCUUUGUGCUCUUUGAGUUUUUCCUGUGAUGGUAGUGCAAAAGCUCUGCCACUUGCUCAGAAAAGUCACCUACCAGCUCCAACAUGGUCUGACUCCACCGGGCUAACCUCAACUUCUUCCUUCACCUUACAAACUGAGGAAAUAAAAUGCAAACUACAGUGUUCCCCCCAGUACAAAAUAAUUUUUAUGUUAAGUUAUAAAUCCACAAGAUCAUAUUAGCAAACUUUAACAUGUAACAUGUUGGCAUCCCUGUAAAAGAAUUAUAUCACAAUGGUAAAGAAAAUUAAGAACUACACUUCCCUCUUUGCAUUGAACCUACUGUCAUGAUGAACUUAAGAGUUGAUUAUUAUGUUGCUGAGCGCCUUUAAGUGCAAUGGCAAAUUAAACAAUUGUUACACUACUCUUGUAGUCAGUCUCAAGUGUUGGCUGCAAAGACUCCAGUCAUUGUUUGAGAAAAGAAAGUAAAAUAGAGUAAUAGAACAGAAACACAUACUCAGCCAAAUGUGCAUCAUAUAGGGCUAUUUUGAAAUGAAAGAGAGCGCUAAGCUGUAAUUUUCAGUUCUUACCCAUAAGACCAAGUUUUCAUCUCCUUGAGGCCUGCUCUGAUCAAUUGCCUUUCUCCCAGUAAUUAGUUCCAACAGAACCACCCCAAAUGCAUAAACAUCAGUUUUAUCCGACAGUUUCCCAUGUUGGAAAUACUCAGGAGCCAGAUAGCUAAAUAAGCAACAACAAUAAGAACAUAUUCAACAAAUGGAUCACUGCAAAAGAAAAGCUAUGUGUUAAAUUACUUUUGAUAUUACCCAAAUGUUCCUUUGACAGACUUGCAAAGGAAAGGCAGAGAAGUCCCACGAGCCCAUGUAGCGAAUCCAAAAUCACAUAGCUGUUAACAAAAUUAAAUCAGUCCAACCAGAUGAUUUAAUAUCUAUUAAUGAAAUACUAUUUAUGUGGUCCAAGUACCCAUCAUUUCCAAACUUUCUUUCUCACUCCCUUUAAUCUUAGAGACGUAAAACUACGGCUUGAUUUUAGUGUAUAAAUUACUAUAUAACUAGGGUAGUAAAAGAAACUGAUCAUGGCGUAAUCCUAUUGUUCUAUGGACAUCUAUUUUAGAGAAGUACGAAGCAAGCAUUUUACAAAGAAGUGUGAUUUUAGGUGUUGAGUACACUACUCACAACUAUUAUUUCGAUAAGUCCACUGCUAUAAAGAUAAUCCUUUGACUUUGGAAUGUAAUUAGAUCCUCAACAGUUUGUAUUCAAACAAGUUAGUUUCUAUUCUUACCAAAUAUCUUAAUCUCAGCUAAUAUGUUUAUAUCCCCAACAUCCAGCAAUGCACGUCCACCCAUACGGAUAUAACUAGUGAAAAUUCAGAUUUUGUUGCUUAAUGUGCUAGCUCUCGCAUGCUAUGGACUGCCAUUGGUCAUAAUUAUGAAGGGAAAAUGCUUUCAGCAAAGAUACUAAAAAAAUUAGGUAUGAAUCAAGUAACAACCUAAGUACCAAAUUCCAGAACUAAAUAGCAGUUCAGGAAAAAUCAGAACUGUUUGCCCAAAACAAUUUGCACUUAGUCCGCUGACCAAAGCAAAUAUCACACAAGGUUUUAAGCGCCCAUUAGCAUAGGCCGUACCCACCGUACCAACAAGAUAUCAGCAUGAUACGACUCCCGUAUCGAUGGUACUGCUUAACAUCCUCUUUUGUUUGAAAUUAGCUGGUUUUCUCUGUAAUAACCCAACCCACUAGCACUAAUAACUCUUUGGGCCUAAACCACUGAUACAAAAUAUUUAAGCCUAGUUAUUAGUUCUAGUAUGUCAAUCACAUAUAAGCCCAUCAUACUCUUCCACAAUAUCCAAUGUGAGACCAAUGGAUUUCCUAUGUUUUAGGUCUUGACGCCCUUGUCAAUCCAUUCGCACACACAGCCCAAGAUCACCUGGCGAUGUAAGACUCACCUCACACACUUCCGACUAGUAAACUGACUCUAAUAUCAACUAUAAUUAUCCAGCCAACUAGCAUUUAUAACUUGUUACUUGGGCCCAAACCACUAACCCAAAAUAUUUAAACUCAAUUAUUUGCAAGUGUGUCAAUCACAUAUAAGCCCAUCACACUCCCAUAUUAUUCGAUGUGGGACUAUCAGGAUGUCACAAUCUCAAUAAUUUGAUAAAGAUAUGUAAUAAACAAUUAGAAUAUAGUGGUGCCAAAGAAAAUAAAUAUUUUUAUAUCAUAUAUAGUGUGUAGGGGCACAAGUAUUUUUGUGAUCGGCCCAAAUCAACACGACACGACAUGCCCAGUGUCGUGUUAUGCCAUACCAGCAAGUUCUCGACGCGACCCUAAGUCACGAUGCUAAUAUCAAGUUAAUCAUGACAUAUGCAACUUUUUUUUCCUUGUUAACAUGCACUAUGAAUAUCAGAAGCAAUCAAAAGGAGAGAGAUCGAAAAGAGAAGAAAAAACUCGCACUUUGGGGCUUUUCUUGGAGGAGAGGAGAAUGUUGGAGGACUUGAUGUCUCGGUGGAUCACGCACUUUUCGGUGCCGUAGUGCAGGUACUCCACAGCCCGCGCCGCCCCCACCGCCACCUUGUACCUCGCCGUCCAAGGCAACACUUUCCCUACAUACUACUAAUUAGCACUAAUUUGACGAAAAAAUUAACUAAGCAUUCGCAAUUCUAAGUGAUAAAGAACGUGGUUACAAAAGGAGAGGACUAGUACGAGAGUGGUGGAGAUGGCGAUCGAGGCUACCGCCGGAAACGAACUUGUAAACAAGAAAGAGGCCGGCCUUAUCGAUGCAGAAGCCGAUCAGGGGGACGAUAUUGGGGUUGCAGAGGGAGCUCGCGAUCAUCAGCUCCCGGCAGAAAGCCUUGGUGCUCUCCCUGCCCUCCCCCUCCACCCUCUUUAUCGCCACCGCCCUCCUCCGCACUCCGACCCUCCCCCUGUACACUCUGCUCAGUGGGCCCCUGCCCAGCUCCCUCCCUAACAAAUAAUAUCACAGUUUCCACUUGAUUCAAUAAUUACAUAUUAACAGUUUCCGUAGUUGGAGUAAUCGAAAUCAAGAAUUUGGACCUGCAGAGAGGCCAUGAGUGGCGGAAUGUAUCUCGGCGUAGCUGAACCGCACCGCCCGCGAGGCGAUCGGAGAGAUGCUCCUCUCGAGAAAAUCCAAUCUCUGCCACUGCAGAGCCUCCGGCGCAGACGGAGGCGGGGCAGCGGCCCCCUGCCUGUCAUCAUCAUCCUCCAGACUGACGAGCAGCAGCACCGCCGAGGCGACACCGGCGGCGGCGGCGGCGCCGCCCGCAGCCUCCACAGCCGCGGGGGGCGGGGGCGAGCCGCGGAAGCUGAGGCGGAAGGAGGAGUGCACGGAAUGCAGCUCGGCGGCCCCGUCCCCCGCCGCGGCGUCGGCGAGCAGCCACGACCUGUUCUCGGCGUCGCAGCGUCCGCGGCCGUCGUCACUCCCGCCCGUCUGGCGCCUCCCUCUCCGCCGCAACGCGGCAAGACUGGACACCAUUUUCUUGCAAGGAAUUAUCCCGUCAGAGCUGCCGCCCCUUCGCCGGUUCCGGCCGUCUCUGCGGGCAAUGUAGCAGCCGCCGCCACCGCCGCCGCCGCUGCUGCUGUAGGAGGAGCCCAUGAGGCUCCCAGCUCAAGCCCAAAGAGAGAGAGAGAGAGAGAGAGAGCGAAGAAGCAGGAUGCGAGCAUAAAUAUAAAUAAAUAAAUAAAUAUAUAAUAAAGCGUUAAAGGGCGAUUAAUGAGCUCGACAAUGUAGGGGCACUUUAAUUUUAUUGUGUUAGCUUUGCUUGUGGGUGGGGUGUGUUGUUUUGCCUUUGGCCGCUUUUGCUUUUCAGGGUUAAAAGGCGUGUUGGAGUGAAAAUUCUGAUUUACCAACAAGAGAGAAAUGGAGAAGUGUGGCAGGUGGAUAAUAGCGGACUAAUUCGGUUAGUUGGCCUGAUCGGGACAGUUGAUUAUACUAUAAAACUAUCGUCGGUGUACUAAGUUGAAAGAUGCUGUAUGUACGCUAAAAUAGAGUCGACAUAAUAUUCAAGUUUUACCAACUUUUUAUUAGAGUUUUAGUUUAAAAAAAUCUAUAAAAUUAUUGAAAGUAUAUUGAAGUUUAAAUGGAUGAAAUAUAAGGUUUACGCUCUAUUUAUAGGUGUACUAGUUAUACUGCUCUAUUUAGUUUUAAAAAUUAGUAUUUGUACAUUCAAAAAUAAGUUAUAAACCUUUGUAAUACUUUUUUUUUUUUAGAGAGAGAGAUAGAUAGCAUGCUACCUACUAUAUUUAUUUCUUUUGAGUAGUUUCAAUCUGUGUGUUAGGUUUUAGAAUCUAGUUAUUAUGUCUCCGUACAUGGAUAUGUGAUCUGGAUGAGCUUCGAAUUUUAUAGAACCUCAGUUGAGAUUCUAAAACUUCAGUGUAUUCUCAAACAUCAAAAUCAUGUUUGAAAACUCGAACAAUAGAUUGUGUGCUUGGUCUGGGAGUUGUGAAACAAAUUAUGUUUUAAUAAGAAAUCCAUCUGCAAUUAUUCUCCAUCUAUAAAUACCUUUUUUGGGAAACUCCAGCCUCUUUCUUUCUCGGACAAAAAUUUGGUGGAUAUAAUCCCCAAACAUAAUAUUUUGGGGAUUGUUGGAUCCGCGCCAUAUGGCAAGCCGCGCUGAUCUCAACCAGCCAAUAAAAAUAAAUUUUUGAAUAUUUUAAUCCAAUAAAAAUAAUAUUUUCUUUUAGUGGUUGAGAUGGGUACAGCUUGCCAUAUGGCGCCCAUCCGGACAAUCCCCAAACUAUUAUGCUAGGGACUAUGUCCACCAAUUUUUGGUUCUUCUUUUCCCUCUCUCUCUUUCUAGUCCUCUCUCAUUCUCUCUCAAGCUUUCCUACCUCAGAACCGAAUGGAUGGAGCUUCCUUUAGGAGGAGGUCUUGGCCUUUUAAGUGGCCUUGUGGGGAGAUUUCCAAGAACUAGGUGAAUUGUAGUUGAUUCUUAGAUUAGUUAUAUGAAUUUUAGGUGUUGCUUGAAGGGUUCUUAUUUUGGCAUUAAAGUUUUUAGGUUUUUAAGCUUUUUAUGACUUGUGUUGGUGUUUUUGUCCUAAUUUUGGACAUGUGUCGGAAACCUUAAGUUUUUUGGAGUCAUUUUGUGUCAAUCCCCAAGCUAGAUGAGAAUUUGAGCAUAUUUCGUGGCAUCAUUCCUUGAUGUGUGGAGGAAAUAUUGAUUUCGGUAUAAAAUGCUAGUUUUGCAAAAUUUAUCAUGGCUUUUUCAUUAUUUCUUACUCCUUAUGCCUCACCUUAGUGCAUUUUUAGUACCUUAAGAAGUUUAAAGUUGAUUCUAAUUGAAUUGAAGUUGCAACUUUGCGAAAUUCGCGAAGUUUCUACCACUGAAUGUACAAUCUAGGGGCCUAGUUUUGGAACUAUCUAAUAAAAUAGUGCGGUAUAGUUCUAUUUCUAUGGAGCUAUCAAUAUGUUACGGAACCUCAAUCCCAAGUUCCGGAACCUCAGCCACCAAAAAUUCGAAACUUGAAUUUAUUUGAACCUCAGCCACCAAAAAUUCGAAACUUUAGUUUUAUUUGAUUCUUUCUUCAUGAAUAGCACCAAGUGUAAUGCGUGACCUGAUUGCACUCUUCUUAGUUCCAUACAAGGAUCGAGAAGCUGUGAACGUGUUGUGAUUGCCAUCUUAGCAACUUGAGGUAGGUAUACUCUCCGAACUUGAUUUAGCAUCAUCACCACAAUGUGCCUAAACUUGUUUAACCCCUUUGUGGUUGACAUGAACUAUUUAUAGCCUAUUGUAGUUGUACCUCAAGUCGAUCUUAGCACUUAUAUAUUGAUAGCAUGCUUAUUUACUAUUAUAUCGCUUGCUUAUAUCUUAUUCUUGUCAUUAUAUGGAUGUGAAUAGUAAAGAAGCAUGCUAGUUAGAUAAAUGAUAAAAAGGGGCAUUGUGAACCAAGUACUAGUAUUAGGAUUCGGAUUAGACUUGGACUAUUGCUCGAGUUAGUGCAGAUUUAUGUCCUGGCUGCAUUGGAUUACGACUAUCACCUUAAUUACAAGCAUGAUGAUUCACCAAGAAAAUCUAUGGUCCUCUUCGCCGUCUCGAUGGUUUGGCCACCCCGAAGUAGGGUGAGCUCCUCCGAAAGAGAGGUCGUAAUUCAACGAAUUAGUCCGGCCGGGUCUCUUACUAGGUAAGGGAAUUAAGUAUUAGUUGCAUGAGUUUCUUCCUAGACAGAGUAUUGGCAUAAUCUAGGUUUGUUUCUAGAUAGAUCAUUGAGCGUGAGUCAGGAUAGAUGAUUGGGCCAGUUGUUGACACCUUGGUAUAUUCUAUGUAUGCAUAGAACAUUGUAUGUUGUUCACUGACUAUCAUUGUAGAUACCGCUUAUCCAGCUAUAUGACAUUGAUUGUUGCUUAUUAGUCAUCUCUUGACCUUAUAAUGUUAUUACUCCCUUAUUGACUGGUUAGAGUUAGUUUGCUCUUGUCGGCUUGUUGUAUCCACUAAAAACUUUAUCAUUUCUCGAUCCCUGGUGAAUUUAUUUUUUAAGAGCAUUAGGAUGGGUGGAACAUAUUAUAGAGGACCCGUGCUAGAUAGGUUCACCUAGAUAGAUGCACUCUCUACACUUUUGAGGCUAUUAGCAUGGUAUUAUAUAGGAGAUGGAAAAUUUGUGGCCAAAACUAAAGAUAGUUGUAAUCUGUGGUUUUCGGAUGCUAUAACAUGUUUUGCAUACUUUAAAUGUUAUUUAAAAAUUAGAAAUUCUGAUUUUCUUAGCUUUGCUACAUUAUAUUCAAAACUACUUUGUAUUCCAAUGUCAUGUACAUAAGGAAGAAACUAUAUCCAUGUGGCGGAUUUAUGCACACGUCCAGUUGAGUUUCCAUGCUGGGGCGUGACAUUCUUACAUCCAUCCAUGAGUUUAGCCUUUUUUUUUUGGAUUUUUAAUAUUUUCUAAAAAAUAUUUGUAAGACUAGUGUGAAGACAUAGUCUCUUGGAUCGAUAGAGUGUAAAAUAGACACUCAAUUUUUUGGAGUGCACAUAGCAUAUAUUAACUCUACUUCUGUCCUUUAUGCCUCUCUCGACCCCAACUCCGACUCUGCUGGCUCCACCUGCUCUCUUUGCUCCUCUUGCACUCCCGCUGCCCCUUCAUUUGAUGACGGUGGGAAGAGGUUGGGGUGGGCGUGAAUAGAGGGUGGGCGAGGAUGACACGGCGGAGGAGGUGAGCGCAUAGGCAUGGGCGCGGACAAAAGAAUGUGCGAAGGCGAGGUAGCGGAGGAGGGCGAGGGCGAGGGCGAGGGCGAGGCGGCGGAGGAGAGCGAGGCGGCACGGCCAACAACGUCGUUGGUAAAGAGGAGGCGAUGCUGUUGAGAGAGGGUAGAAGGGUAUUUUCGGUAUAAAAAAAUAUAAUAAUAGGUUAUAGACGAACCUCGAACGGAACACUAACGUCAGGGUCCGAAGUGAGCAUUUUUUUAUUUUUUUAAAAGGGCAAAGUGUAGCUUUUUAAAUGAUAAUGAAAAAGUGAAAAAGCAUAUCUUGAUAGGGGUUUUUGUAAUUUAGCCUUAUUACAUAUUAAUUUACUUGCAGAUUCUUUUCAGAUUGGAUUACAAGAAUCUCUCUCUCAAGAGCUUUCCGCUUUUUCUCUCAACUGGGGUAUCUAUGAUGAAGCUCUCUUUUUCUGAAACCUCCGACAAUGAGGCUCUAGACUCUAAAAUAUAAAUUACAAUAAUUUAUAACCCUAAAACCCCAAUUUUAGUAGGAAACAUUUUUCGCCGUCCAUCUGAAUUCCUAUUCACUUAUAGUCGUUUAUCUCCUCUUAAAGACUCUCUUCAAAAUAUUUUUAGAUCAUCCCUAAUCUCAAGAUAUAAGAUUAAAUCAAAUUGAAAUCAAAUCUAACUUAUCCAGUCUGUUACAAAGUUGAGUACGGUACUCAACUUGGAGUACAGUUACUAAAACACCUCUAUAAUUUCAGGACAAGUACUCAAAGUUGUGUAUCGGUACCCAAUACAAAAAAUAGGAAAUUGAGAAACUUUUGAAAAACUUCUGAAAUACUUCUUAAUACUUCUUAAUACCGGUACUCAAACUUCAAAUUCUAAUACUUAACAUCCAAAAACCUUAAAUAUUUUAUUAGUCCACCAUGAUAUCGAGUCGGAAUGUAGCUUCACAUAAUUCAACAGUUUUGUGGGCUUUUAGUAUUAGAAAUAGAAAAAACUUCAAUUUGCCCUUUUUUUUUAUCUAAAAUACCCUUCUAAAUUUCAAAUCUUAUUAGUAAAUCCUAAGUUUGAGGGCAAACCUGAGAAUCUCUACCUGUACCUGCGAGUACCCGCAAGUUAUCCGUAAAAUUGCGGGUAUGGGUACUAAUUUUUUCUAUCCAAAAAAUUAUAGAUAAAAUGAAUGGUACCAGUCAAGUGGUGGGCAUUUUAGACAAUCCGCAGAUACCCACGGGUAUCCCAUAUAUUUUUUAAUUAAAAAAAUAUUUUUUAUUUACCUAUUUUUAAGAAACUCUAACCUAAUUUAAUAUCGUGUCUUUUUUUUUCGUUGCAGCCAUCUCUCGCACUAUGUCGUCUCUCCAACCGCACCACUCUACCAUCCUCAAGCGGGCCGACCUAAAUCGGAACAUGAAGUGUUCAUUUACGGUUUUCGCCUAUGACUUCUCCAGCCUUUUUUUUUUUUGUUUAUCUGCGAUAGUUGUGGAUUGAGUUUUAGUGGUUUAUCUUUAUGAUAUUUACUCUAUAUAUAAUCAACAAAGUUUUAUUAAUUUUGUAUUAUAAAAAUUUGGUAUGAUAAAAUAUUUUAUAUUAUAUAAUUUAUGGGCUUUAAGAUUUUAUAUUGUUUAUUAUCUGUUAUGAUAUUUCAAACAACAAGUUAAAUUAUACUUUUAAAAAUUGUAUAUAUGUGUUUUGCAUUGGAAAAUAUAGGAGCAAACAAGAAAGAAAAGAAAAUCUUGCGGGUAACUAGCAUACCUAUCUGUUCGCUCGCCGGUGGGUAUAGGUAAAGAUGUUGGCUAUCCAAAAAUUUGUAGAUAAAUUUUAUUCAUAGCCAUAUGAUCUGCAGGUGUAAUGAUCUGCCCACAAUUUACUCAUCUCGCCCGUUUGUCAGGUCUAAUUAAAUACAUAUCUUUUAAAAAUUUGUAAAUCAAUAAGACAUUAUGGUCAAUCAGAAAUAUAUUUGAUAUUUUUGAAGUUUUGAAGGCUACAGUAGAUAUUAUUCUAAAAAUUUAAAAAUAAAUUUAUUCAAAAUAAAAUAAUAGAAUCUUAAAAAUAUUAAAAUUAAAAUUUGAAAAUAAAUUUGAUCUUAAGUUCAGAAAGUAAAAAUUAAUAAAAAAUUAUUUUAAUUAUUUAUUAAUCAUCCAAGCAAUUUUUGUCCCGGAAUUAAAAAGAAAAUUAUGAGCGGCGGAGUGAUCAACAAUGUUGUCUUAUUAGUAACCCCAAUUUAUCUCAAUGUAUCAUAGAGGAUUAUAAUUUGUUUUAAAAUUUAAAUUUUUUAUUCUAAAUUUAAUAUUAAAAAGGGGCAAUUGCUUAUAUAUUCUUAAAAAGUUCUCGACUUUCUAAUUUAUUGCUCUUAGAAUACUAAUAUUAAAAAUAUCCUUUAUGUUCCAAUCUAUUUCAAAUAUACCCUUAUUAGAGUUAAAUUCUAUUAAUGAACUAUUAGCAAUAGCUAUUAUUUGUAUAAAAUUAUUAUUUUGCCCUUUCAAAUAUACCCUUCCACUAUCACCGAAUUUUCUUAUUUAUCUUUAAAAGGCUUAAGUUUGGUAUUGAGACCUAUCAAACACUAUUAAAUAAAAUAGAGUUGAUGAAAAAACAUAUAGGGAUGUACUUUUGCGUUCUCCGGUGGGAUCGCAGAAAAUAAAUAUAUCAUAAUCGACUCAUCGCGAUAUGCAGAACACAAUAUUACAUACAAACCGUACUUAAUGUAAUCUCCCCGUAAUCCCAAACCGUACGUAACGCAAUCUUCCCAUAAUCCCAAACGAAGUUUAAGUUAGGGACACAAAAAUUAUUUUGAUUUUUACUCUUUUUAAAUAUAUUAUUUUAUCAUCACCAAAAUUUUUUUAAUUAAUAUAGAUAUUUAAUUCAUAUUUAAGUCAAAUUAAUUUAACGGGUGAUAACUGUAUAGAUAUUUUGGAACGGCGAGAAAUAUACAAGAGUUAAAAGAAAAGAAAAAAAAAUAUAUACGGGAUAUUUUCAAAGUUUCGAAGGUAUAUAGGCAAUUAUUGCUAUUAAAAAAUAGGUAUUUGUUAAGGGCACAAUUAAAACAUUGUGGAGGUCCGCGCUUGAGUUUUCUUCCCGAUUUAGGGCUUCAGAAUCUCGGUCGCCUCUCUCUCUCUCUUUCUCUCACGCCUACUCCUCGUCUCGAGCUUCUUCAUCGCUGGCUGCGCCUGUUUCUGGAUCUCUCAGAUAAGAAGCUGCAGUCCAGACAAGCAUCGGAAGGAAGAGAAGUUGCGGGGGAAUGGAGAAAGGCCGCGCCGUCGGGAGCCCGGCGGGCGAUAGAGAAUGCCCGGCAGCGGCCGAAAAGAAUCCGAAGAAGCAGAAGCCCCCCUUCAGGCCCGCGCCGGACGACACCAAACCACUCUUCCGCGACCCCGUUCGUCUAUUCCUGUCUCGCUAUUCCUACCUACCCUUUUCCUUUUCUUUCUCUUCCUUAAUCUAAUUAUGGCUCCCUUUUUCUUUUUUCUUUCUUUAUUCUUUAGAUAUUGAGGUCGGACCCAAUCGAGACCGAGCAAGCAGUGCUCGCGCUUACCUCGCUCCCCAAGAACGCAGCGAUAUCUGAUGAAAACCGCAAAUGGUAGGUUCUUUUUUUUUUUCUUUUUUUUUUUUUUUUUGCUUUUCAGCUGUAUCUUAUUAGUUUUCUUUCUUGUGCUGCGAUGGAUCUUGGAAGCUAUUUAACGCAUAAAAAAUUAUGAGGCAACCCUCAUGGAUCUCGCUUGUCUCAUUUUAGUGAUAUAUUGCUUUAAAAUAUAUUUUUUAGUAUCCUGAUGAAUUUUUAUUUUUAUUAUUUUUUUUUGUGGCGAACUACAUUUACUCUCGUUAAAUCAAUAUAUAUAUUUAUUAUAAUUAUAUAAUAUAUAUAUAUAAUAUAUAUUAUAUAUAUAUAUAUAACACUUUAAUAUCCUAUUUAAUUUAUCGGAUAUUUAUUUUAGUAUUUUAUGGUUUAUCGAAUUUUUGACUUUACUAAUUUUGUUACUGAUAUAAAAAAAUUAACGAGGAGGGAUAAAUUAACUGAGGGAUAACGGAAGAUAAAAAAAAUCCGGGUACUCUGCUUGCGUUCUCAUCUGAACUAGCCUCCCGUUUGUCCCCUCCGCUUGUACCCCCCUACCAAACAGGCGAACCGAUGUUUAAAUCAAAAAAAAAAAAAAAAAAGAAAAACAGAAAAUCUUGAGUAGGGAUAGUAAAUAUGAUAAUAUUUUAAAUCACAUGUUACUGGCGCAAAAUUACAGCAGUGAUAUUUGAAGUUUUUUCAAAAUUAUAAGUAUUUUAAGUCCCUGUGCUUUUAAAAACAUGGUUAUCAUUGUUUGUUCGAAGGCAAGUUAAUAGUUUAGAAACUGAGGCUUUUCACUUUACAUCAUAAUUGACUUAGUCCUGAAUGGCAGCCGUAUUUUGAGAAAGUUAAGUUAAGAAAUUUGAGUUAGUGGUGAAUCAAACAAUGAAAAAUGGGCAUAUGCAGCCAUAAUUUACUGCAACUUUUGCCUUCUUUUGUGUUUCUACUUAUGAGGUGUUUAUUUGGUAAGAAAACUUUGUUAUCCAUCUUUAUGGCUGGACUUGGUUUAUUUUAAUUUUAGAGUUUGUUCGUCCUUCAUUUAUUUGUUUGAGAAAUGCUAAUUCUUGAACCCAGAAAGGGUCAUACAAGGAUUAUUAUAAUCCUACUCCCAUGGAUUUAAAAGAUUUUCUUUUUCUAUUUUGAAUUUUAGUGAUAAAAACAAAAGAGAUCAUAAAGGCUAGUAGAGAAAAAAAGAAUCAUUAGUAGAUGAUAGAGUUGCGAGUAUUGCUCUAUAUUCUUUUUGUUUUUUUUCAUCUAUGUUGGUUCCAAUAAUGGUAUCGUAUUAAGCGGAUUAAUGAUGUUUUGAAUCUGACAAUGUUGUUCGGAACACCGUCAGCAAGAUCUCCAGGUUCUACAACACCGAGGAGUUAAACAUUUUUCGGCUCUUUUGCAGUAUUAUGGUUCAAUUAGUCUUGGUAUAGAAUGAAACACUAAAUAAUUCUAUCUUGGAUUAAGGCAAAAUUAACUACGGGAAAAAGGAAGUUAAAAAAAUUAGUGAAAAACUCACUUACAAUGAAGUUGCACUACAGUAUCAAACCUGGCCUUGCAGUGUAGUUGCACUACUACAACUACACAGCAAAUCAAACACAAAUUGUAGGCUUACUUGGAGUUGCAGUUGUAAUGCAACUCGCAAAGCAAGCAAUCAAAGAGGCCUAUCCACUUUAGGGCCCUGCCAAGAUCAAAGUAAUCUAACUGUAGGAUCAGACUUGCAGGUGAUAUUUGUACUCUGCUGCAGGAAAAUUGUAUGUGAGGUUUGGCUGGAUCGAAAUCAUGCCAAGAUCGAUAUACAUAAACCCAGCCAAAAAUUCUAUGGGGAUGUAUUUUCAAUGUGUGCAGUAGUUGCGUAAAACAUAGAAGCAGUUACUUGUUUGCUUAGAUAACCAUGUCAAAUGUACCUUUUUGGACGUAUUGUAGGGCGUAGUACAAUAGAAUCUCAACAUCUCAUUUUAACUUUCUGCUGCAUUAGAAUUUAAGGCUUUUCUGAAAAAUAGAAUCAGAAGUGAAACUACAAAGGCUCUAUGUAAUGUUAACUUUCUUCUGCAGCAUUAGAAGUUUAAAACUUAUCGAAAAACAGAAAUCAGGAAUGAAGCUACAAAGGAUCUAUGUAAUUUUUCCUGAUGUCAAAUUGCAAACAUGCUUAUUGAUCACCUUUACUUUCUUUGAAAUUGGGAAGUAUGAAAUGUAUAGUAAUUUUUGUCUUUAUAAUGGUGUGAUACAUGUAGAAGGCUUAGAAGAGCUGUGUUGGAACCCAGGAAUGUGCAGAGGCCAUGAUUUCUUAUUUCCAUCCAUCUGCAUGCAAUCAGAAGAUUUUUGAACACUAUUUUGACUUUCACAGCUUUGAAAGUAUACUGUUGUUGACAUUGCAUAUUUUUCAGACAAUGUUACAUAAUAUUUUGGAUAUGUACUAUGGAAAAAAUUUGAUGGAAAUUAUAUGUUUAAAGACCAAGCUUUUCUUCCUCCCACAUUUGAACAUUAAUAAAUGCAUCAAAUUUUUGGAUAACACUGAAGUUUUGACACAAAAGUCUUUUAAUUUUUCUUACUAUUUUUUGUUUUUUGUUUUUUUUAUUCUGAAGUUUCAAAUAGGAUACUUAUCCCAAGAACCUUCUCUGGAGCUAGUACUAGGUAUAACCUUAGUUAAUUCGCGAUUAAAACGCGAAUGAUACGCGAAUUUUAAAAAUUACUUAUUAAACACCCCGUUCCGUAUUUUUUCGAAAAGUUCGGAAAAAAAGGCCAAAUCUUUCUCAAAAAAACUUGUUUGCGAAUUAUUUGCAAUUCGCGAAUGAUUCGACUAAAAAAAGGGCACUCGCGGUCGAAGCUCGCUGCUCGUGUCGUCGCCGUGCUCGUCGUCGCGGAUUCGCGGCCGAGGGUCGCGUCGUCGUCGCUCUUGUCGCCGAACUCGUCCGGGUUGUCCUCCUCAUUCGCUGCCCUUGCCGGCAUCGGGAGCAAGAGCCGCCGCGACGACAGAUGCCCUCUCGCGCCGUCCGUGGAAAAAAAAAGAAGAGAAACAGUAAAAAAAAUCGGGGCUUUUGAGCAUACUUGUGCGCGGUCCACGAGGCCACUUUGUGGCCUCGUGGACCGCAUGAGAGGGAUGUCCACGGUGGACCUUCCUCUCAUUAAUAUAUUAUAUAAUUAUAGUAGUAUAUAUAUAUAGAAUUAGGCGGAAUACUAUUAAUAAUAAAACGUUCUUUUGCUAUCAAGAGUUUUUAACCCUUGGAUGAAAAAAUUGUAGGGUUAGGAUGAUAUUAGUUGGUUAGAGUUGAGUGGUCCUCCUAGGGUUGAGUGGUCUCACAUGGGUUAUAGUAUUUAAUCCAAUGGUUAGAAAUAAUAAAAAGAGUUGAUCCAAAGGCUAAAAAACUAGUAGCAACAAUAAGAUUUUGCUACUAAUAGUAGCCCAAUCAACUCUAUAUAUAUUAUAUAUAUAUAAUAUUAUAUAUAUAUAUAUAUAAUAUAUUAUAUAUAUAUAUAUAAAUUUUAUUUAUAAAUAUAUAUCAUUUAUUUUAUUAUAUAAGUUUUUUAUUAUAAAAUUUAUAAUUAUUUAUUAAUAUUCUAAAUACAUAAUCUUAUAUAUUAUAAUAUAUAUUAUAUUAUAUUAAUUUGAAUAUAUUUAAUUUAUAUAAAAAAGCAUAAAAAGUAUAUAUGUAUAUAUUAAUUAUUAUAUAUUUAUUAUAUAGCCGAAUUUUGAUUCCGAAUUUUUAAUUGUAAACGUAUAAUAUCCGUAUAAAUUACGUAUCCGAAUAAUUACCACAUCCUUUUUAGCCGUAUUUUCAAAAGAAUUUAAAAGUUAAAAAGAGAAUUUUAUCCGAAUUAUAUCCGUACCGAAUUUUGCCGAUCCGAAUUAACUAACUAGGUAUAACCAGGAAGCUGACCUCUAUUGAAAGCCCUUUCUUUGAAAAUUAACUUCCCAACUACUCUAGAAAGUGAGUGGCUGCUAGAUGAUGCAGAAGUCCACUAUGUGUAGGAAUGUGGAAUUACAGAAAUGGAUAGACUCAACAGCAGUGCAGCCUAGAAUAUAUGAAAUCUUGAUGAGAACAAACUCUUUAAUCUUGACAUUAAUAUAUAAUCUUGAUACUAAUACUGAUAACUUUUCGGUAAAUAAAAAGGAGUGAGGCUACUAUGCUAUUCGAGAGUACGAGCCUUUCGUGCUUUCAGACGUUUUCGAUGUUGCGACUUCAAUCGUCGAUCGGCUUCGUAUACUUGAUCUAGAGUAUUGUUAGUACUUAGAAAUAAUUUAUUAUUUUUCAAUAUCAUUUGCCUAGUGAUCGAAUGGGCUCAAAAUCAACAAAUUUCAUUGGCCGUAGUGAGCCGUUUGCAAGUUUAACGAUGUAUAAAUAUCCAAAUCACGUGAAAUUUUGAUAGAAAAUUCUUUAUACUAUAUAAAACAAGAUCAAUAUUUUUGAUUUAAAAUUUUAAUGUCAUAUUAUUACAUUUUGUAAGAUUUUUAUUUUCAGCCGUUGAUUUUGAGCCCCUUCGUUCACUAGGCAAAUGAUAUCGUAAAAUCAUAAAAUUUAUUUUUCUAGGUACUUCAAAUACUCUAGAUCAAGUUUAACGGAGCCGAUCCACGAUUCGAAAAUCGCAACAUCGAAAACGAGCUGGAAGCACGGAAGGCUCCGUGCUUUCGAUAGCAUAGUAGCCUCACUUAUAAAAAGGAUAUGCUCAAUAAAAAUGUUUGCGUAGAAAAACAUGCUCUUUUUAAUGAUUAGAAACAAUACUUUUCAGUAUCUUACUUUUUAUGGCAAUUAUUUGUCACGUAAUGCUUGUCACGUAUAAAUUGUCCUCACCAAGUACAAAAAAGAUGUUGAUUGUUCCAUGUUUAGAUCAUGACACUAUGACCUCUUCUAGCUCCUUCGAUCCAAUGGGCUCUCCGUUUCCUUAAGUGGAUUCACAACAAAAUAUAUAUAAUUAAGAAGGUCCAUUCCCCACACUUAUUAAUGUUCUUGUGUAUUGAAUACACAAGUGGACAACCAUACCAUAGUUGUUCUUGCUAGGAGAGGAAUAAAUAAAGCACAGUGGGAGACAAAUUUACCUUCAUUUUUAUUAAGUGCGAGUGAAUGAUAGGGCGAUGAUUGACACUUGUUUCUUAUUUCGAACCAGUUUAUUUAGAAAAUUACUAUUUAUACAUUUACAAGUGAGAUACGUAUCUCUCACUCACUCUAUCUAAGUUUUUUUGUUUCUUGUUGGGUUUUAGUAUUGAAAAAUAGGAGUGUGAUAAGAUUUAACCGACGUUUGUUUUAAGUUACCAAACUUCUUUUUUUUUUUUUUGAUUAAAUCACUAGUUAAUUUUUAUUUCAAUCUGACCAUUUUAUUUAAUUUUUUAUAAUAUUUUAAACAAAAUGAUAAAGCAAUAGGUGAGUUAACUAUCACAUUGAAUUCUAGAGAAGACAUUAUAGUUAAUUUUGUUGUCAUGUAUUAUUGGUAUAAUGUAUAAUUAUAUUAUUUGGUAUAUGGGCUUGAUUUGGGAUGAAAAUUUUCCUUGUAUACUUCAAUUCCUGGUAUUGCUGGAUUCUUAUUCCGGAAUUACUUUGUAUAGCUUUAGGAUCUCUUUUUUAUAUUAAGAGAGCAAUAUGAUGAAUAAUAUAUAUAAAAUAUAUUAUUUUUAAAUAAACUUCUAUCAUGUCAUAGGAGCUCUAACUAGUAAUAUUUUGGACUGGUAGUUUGGACCAACGACUUCAAAAAUUAAUGAAAGUUCAAAUAUCAGCCCAAUUAAAUUACAAGUUAAAUUUCAGUGUCUUGAUCGAAAGAAAUUAAAAUUUGAUUAUCCAAAUAUAAUUUUGUUAUAUUUAACAAUUUUAUUUAUUUAGCUGGGGUGGUCAAUAUGUAUAUAUUUUUAUCAAUAAAUGUUUUUGUUGAGAAUUAGUAUCAAUUUCAGUUGAUGGAUUACUAUUAUUAUUCAUUUGAUUGGCCCAUCUCUGGCUCGACCAAUUCCAAAUUCGCCCCGCUUUCGUAAUGGGAUAAAAUAUUUAUUAUAUGAUCUAAUCUGCCUAAAACAUUCAUCUCCCAAUUGCAUCUCAAAUCCUCCAAGUCGAUAAUUAUUUUAUUCUUUUUUAAAUUAAAUUCAAUAUAAUUGAGUCCUUAUUAUUAUAAUUAAAAUGGAACUAAAAAAAAAUAAAUGCACUUGCAUAAUAUUCCAUGAAUAGGUAAAUAUUAUAAUAUUAUUUAGAUACUUAUUUGGAACAGAUAAAGGGUGGACUCGGGAUGGGUCAAAUUUUCUACCGUCUCAAUCAAGUAAUGUAAAAUAGAUUUUUUCAAAUAUUCAACCGUGCGAUGAACGGCUAAUGUAAUAAUAUAAAGUAACAAAAGUUAUUAUGUGAUGAUAAAAAGAAAACAUUUUAACUAAUAUUAUAAUUAUUUUAACAAAUAAAUAAAUAUACUAUCAAUCUUAAUUAUAAUACAUACUGAAGUAUAAAAGCUAGAGAAAUAAAAUUAUGGACCACAUCAUUAAGUAUUAAGAAUAAGAGUUGCUAUCCUACUUAAAAAAUAUAUACACAUACUCGAUAUUACUAUAAGUUUUAUACUUUUAGAUAUAAUAUGAUAAUACGGUAUAUAUCAUAGGUAUAUAUAUACUAUAGGUAGGUAUAUAUAUAAAUUAAAAGGACCAUUGUACUACAAAUGCUACUUCUAAAAUAAAUCAUUUUAUAUCAUAUAUGUGCCUACUUGUUUUUUAUUUUUAUUUAAUCAGAAAUAUAAUUUUUAAAUUUAUAUUUAUAUUAGCAACAAAAUUUCAAGAACGUAAAAUAUCUUUAUUUAAGAUGUAUAUAUGAGUGUCAUAUUAUAAAGUUAUCAGAUUGAUAAAUACAAUAUACUUUUGCUUUGGAUAAAACUGUCAAUCUAGUUAUUACUUUAUAAUAAUAAGCAGUUAAAUGAACAAAAACAUAAAAACAUUCAAAAGACAUAUUUAUAAUUAUGAGCACCUACUUGUCAACCUUAAGUAGAAUCAUUAUUUUUUUUGUUUCUUUACCGUCCUUUCAGCUUUUUUCCAUUCUACUAAUUUCAAAAAGCUUCUCAAUGACAUCUGAUAAAUUAGAAAAAUAAAAUAUAAGAAUCAAUAUAAUAGAUACACAUAUUAAAAAUUAAAUUUUAAAAAUUAAUUAUUUGAUACAUAUAACAACUCUUACCUACUAAAUAUUUAUCAUCAGCGACUUUAGCAAAUAUUUCAUCAAAAGGAGUAAAUAUAAAUCCAUAUUUUGAUAUUGUCAAAACAUCUUCCACCUCACGUACAACUGUAGAAUAUUAAAAAUUAAUUUUAUAAGGAUGUUUAGUGGUCCUGUAGGAGCCACUGCUUUGCCCCACUCCAAAUUGGUUGAUCACAUAAACUUUUCCUUCCGUUAAAAAGCCUUUAAGUUUGUUCAAGAAAGCUCUUCUUACCGUUGUAUGCAUCGCAUCUCCCUAAAAUAGAAAAUAAACCAAUUAUAUAGUAUCUUUUACUAAAAACAAAACAAAUAAUAUUUCAGCAAAUAAAAGUUGUAUGGUCCUAAAAGUUAUAAGCACUCUCAAGUCAUCAUCUCCCAUUUGAUGUGCAUCAUAUAACACAAAAUAUAAAUAUGCCUUCAAUAUAAAUAUUGGUUUUCACCAAAUAUCACAACACAACAAGUUUACAUGCAUGCAGGGACUCAUGUUACAUGUAAAUUUUUCCCAAAAUAUUUGGAUCAUAUAUUUUGUUAGUGAAAAACUAAAUAAAAAUGAAAAACUAAGUAGCGAUAGUAGGAACUCAUGUUACAUGAAAACACAUGUUCAAUUUGAAAAUGACAGUUGUUCCUUACAUUUUGAUAAAAAAGAACCAACUCUAAGCUAUUCAUUACCUCUGGACGAUGAAAUUCAGGCACAAUAUACAAACAAAUCACUCUAACUUUGAUCUUCCAUUUGUUUCCAAGAGGUGUGAUGUCACUUAUAGAAUUAAACCCAGGUGCCAUAUUCUGAGAACAAUAAGACAUCCAGAAAAAAAAGUUAGUACUUAUUUCGUAUUUAAGUAAUAAAAUAAAAACAAUAUGUUCUAUUUUAAAGCAUCAAUAUCUAAGAAUUAAGAAAAACUACUCAAUAGAUACUUAACUAAAAUGUGCUGAAUAUUGUUAAAAUAUGGGACCUUUAGUAUAUAUAUAUACACACACACACAUAUUAAUCUGUGAAUAUUAGACUUUAACAUUAAAAUAAUUAGUCAAAAUAGUUUUAUUUCUCCAAACCUAACUGGAUCUGAAUAUAGAAAAUGUUUGAAAAAUGGUAACCUUUAGUAUACAAUAAAUUGAACAAAAUAAAAUGACAUGAAUGGUAACCUUUGAAAAAUGGGCAAAACAUUUAAUAGUAUUUUCUAAUAAAAUUCGGUGACUUCCACAUAUCAUUUCAUUUAUAGAAAUAAUUAGCUUUACUUGAAAAGUGAAUAAAAUUUGCAACCAUAAAACAACAGAUAUAAUUAUUGCAACAAAUCAGUUUCUAAGGCUCUAUUUAUGAUAGCAAAUUAAAAAUAUGAUAGUAUAUGAAUAUAAAGAGUUUGAUGUUAUAUUGAAAAUGAUAAGACUUUUAAAUAUUGAUAAUUUACCUUACAUAGCACCAAUUCUAUUUUUCCAAAUCUAACUGGAUCUGAAUAUAUAGAAUGUUUAAAUUGAAUAGAAUAAAAUGACAUGAAUGGUAACCUUUGAAAAAUGGGCAAAACAUUUAAUAGUGUUUCCUAAUAAAAUUAUGUGGUUCUCACGUAUCAUUUCAUUUCAUUUAUAGUAAUAACUAGCUUUUCACCCGUGCGAUGCACGGCUAAUAUAAUAAUAUAAAAUAAUAAAAGUUAUUACGUGAUGAUAAAAAAAAUAUUCUAAUUAAUAUUAUAUUUUUCUAACAAAUAAAAAAAUAUAUUAUCAAUCUUAAUUAUAGUACAUAUUAAAGUACAUAAGCUAGAGAAAAAAAAUUUUGGACCAAAAUAAAUACUCAAGUAAAAUGCAAAAUUCAACCCUGCUCUAUUAUCUAUGAAUUGGUGUGCAAAAUAAUUUACAUUUACAUAUUGGUGUGCAAAACAAAAUGAUAACUAAAAUUGAUAUGAAAAAUUACAAAUGACAUUAAUAUUUAAGUAUAUAAUGAGAUUAACUAAACUUUCAUAUUUGACACAAAUUAGAGUAAGCACACGUAUAUUAUUUCCCUACUGUCACUUUCAAAAAUAUAUAGAUGUUGGUGUUCAUAAUUAUAGGUGACUUUUAAAUAAAAUUUCCUUCAUUAUAGGUGAUUUUUAAUAAUAUAGUAAAAGAUAUUAUUUCCUUACAAAAUUUAAUUUUAUUUUGGAUAAUUAUAAGUGACUUUGAAAUGAAAUUCCUUUAAUUAUAGGUGGCCAAUUCUUUCUGAACGUAAUAUCCGUGAAUAUUAUUUUCAUAAAAAAAUCUAAUUUUAUUUUUCCUAAAGUAGUAAUAUCCGCACCCGCCAAUUCUUUCGUAACGUAAUAUCCGUGAAAUUCUCAAAUAUCUCAACAUAAUUAUAGGUGACUUUGAAAUAAAAUCUCCUUCAUUUUCAUAAAAAAAAUUUAAUUUUAUUUUUCCUAAAGUAUUAUUUCUUUGAAAAGUCUAAUUUUAUUUUUUCUAAAGUAGAAAAUCUAUAUUUGAACUUGACACGUAGAUUAUUUUUCCUAGAGUAGUAAUAUCCGCACCCGCCAAUUCUUUCGCAACAUAAUAUCAGUGAAUUUAUCAAAUAUCUCAACAUAAUUAUAGGUGACUUUUAAUAAUAUAGUAAAAGAUAUUAUUUUCUGAAAAAAUUUAAUUUUAUUUUUCCUACCUAAAGUAGUAAUAUCCGCACCCGCCCAUUCUUUCUCAUUGUAAUUUUAUUUUUCCUAAAGUAGUAAUAUCCGCACCCGCCAAUUCUUUUUCAACAUAAUAUCCGUGAAUAUUAUUUCCUUAAAAAAUUCUAAUUUUAUUUUUUCUAAAGUAGUAAUAUCCGCACAACAUAAUUAUAGGUAACUUUGAAAUAUUCUCUAAAGUAGAUAGGUGGCAAGCAUAUAGAGCGCCACGUGUCAGCUUCUCACAUAGAGUUUAUUAAGGAUUCUACUUUAGUAUAUAGUAAUAGAUAGAUUAGCUCUACUUGAAAAAAUAUAAUUAUUGCAACAAAUUAGUUUCCAAGUCUCUAUUUAUGAUAGCAAAUUAAAAAUCUGAUAAUAUAGAAAUGAAAAGAGUUUGAUAUUAUAUUGAAAAUGAUGAGAUUUUUAAAUGUUGAUAAUUUAUCUUGCGUAGCACCAAUUCUAUUUUUAAUUAUCUAUUUGCUAUAUAUGAGUUUGACACAUGUCAAGCAGUUAAGAAAACGCAUGUUAAUUUUUUACCAAGGGUUCUACUUUAGUAUAUAGUAAAUAGAUAUUUCGUUUGUGUUAGGACGAGGCUAUUUCAUAGACUCAGAGUAUGACUUGAAUUAAAUAAAACAGAGAGCCAUGCAAGACUCAAACGUAAGAUUUCCUGCUUUGUUGUAAUGUUAAAUGAUAUGAUUAUGUGAAACCAACUAUUCUCCACUUCUCAUGCCUAUCAAAAAUUAAUUCUCAAGCUUAGAAGUGGAAUAAUUAAACGAACGGUAUCUUAAUAUUUUAUUAUCAAUACUUUUCUUUGUGUCUAGGCUCAAGAAUUUUGAUAGGUUGAUUGUGUGAAAUAAUUAAAUAUGAUAAAAUUAAAUCUUAGAUAGAGAUGAUAUCAGUGAGAAUGAAUAAUACACUUCUUGAAUACUAGUGUAGUGGUCUGCGCGUUAUAACAGGUAGAUACUGAGGAAGUGAGAAUUCAAAAUAUAUAAUAUCGUACAAUAUUAUAAAAAAUAGAAGGGAUCAGAGACAUAUCCUUUUUAAAUUUAUUUAGUUGAUAUAAUAGAGUAACAUGAAUUUUAUAGUGAGUAGAUACUAUUGUAAAACUAAAAUACGUAAUCUAUUAAGUAAACAGAAAAUGAAAUAUAAGAAAAAAAAUAAUAUUUUUACUUGAUGUGUAAAUUCGGUUAAUAUUCAAACCACGGGUAGCUUUUAGGUUAGAAGAAACUGCGUUGCCUUCAUCGUUUGCAUUUGAAAUUGGACUCAGAUCGUCAGCAUAUUGGAACGUAGUCACGUAAAAUCACGGUAAAUAAUUUAAAUCGAUUAAUUAAUUAACUCAUUGAAACAAUUUCCUAAUCACCUGGAGUGCAGACUAAAUGCUGAGCCAACAUCCGCUAUAGAUAGGCCUAGCAAAUGGGCGUUUUGGAUAACCCGCGAGCGGUUAUUGUACCCGCGGGUUAUUUGGGCAUGGGUAAAAUUUAUCCGCAAAUUUUUGAAUAGCCAACAUCAUUAUUCAUACCCGCUCACGGGUGGGUGGGUGGGUGGGUAUGCGGGCUACCCGCAAUUUAUUUUUUUUUUUCUCAUAUAUUUUUUAAAUUCAAAAUACAUAUAGAUAAGUUUUAAAAAUAUAACAUAACUCAUUAUUUAAAAUAUCAUAACAUACAAUAAAAAUAUUUAUAGUCUUAGAGCUUAAAAAUUUCGUAAUAUAAAAAACAUAAUAAGAAAUUAGAGUUAGAAUUUUUAAAACUUAUCUAUAAAAAUUUAUAUUUUAAAUUCAAAAUACAUAUAGAUAAGUUUUAAAAAUAUAACAUAACUCAUUAUUUAAAAUAUCAUAACAUACAAUAAAAAUAUUUAUAGUCUUAGAGCUUAAAAAUUUCGUAAUAUAAAAAACAUAAUAAGAAAUUAGAGUUAGAAUUUUUAGAAUGGAUAAAUAAAAAUAUAUUUUUUAAUUAAGAAAAUAUAUUUUGUAAUUAAAAAUUAUAUGUGCGGGUAUCCGUUGGUACCCGCGGGUUAUCCAAAAUGCCCACAGCUUAAUGAGUACCCAUCCGUUUUGCCCGUAAUUUUUUGGAUUGGAAAAGUUGGUAUCCAUACCCGCAAAUUUGCGGGUAACCCGCAAGCACCCGCGGGUAUGGGUCGAGAUUGCCGGAUCUAACUAUAGAUUUGGCACAAUCUAGUCACAACAAGAUAAAAGUGUGUUUUUACUUACAGCAUCUUACGCGUUAUAAUUCAAUAUAUCUAGUUGUACCUUUUUCUCCUUUUCUGCACUAUUCUAUAUUAUCCCCUCAUUUAGUGAUAUUCGAUCGAGUAUCUUUUUAUUUUCAAAAAAUCUUAUAUUUUUACAAGUUUCAAAUUUAAAUAAAUUAAAUUUUUAUAGAGGCCGGUGUGACGGCUAUGACUUAAAUUGAGAGAAUUUGGAAGGCAACAAUUGAAAAGUUCGGAAAUUUGCUUUGUGGAAAUUUCAUGAACCAGAAAUUGUGCUUAAUAGUCAUGUUGAUUGUCCAUUCACGUGAAAGGAUCGAGUCGUUUGACAGAAAUUUUUAAAAAAAUUUAUAGUAGGGUACUAAAGUGAAAUUUAAUUUUUUUUUAUACGGGACUAAAGUGAAAUAUAUAAAUAGUUUAGGGACCAAAACUUUCAGUUACAUGUAAUGCAUGGAGAAUAUCGCUAUGCCAGAAACAAUGCACAAUUUUACGUAUAUCAGCAUAUAUAUUGUUUAUUCUGCUAGAUGCAUGAAUGUCUUAUUUAGCGUGCAUGUUUUAUUUGCUCAAAAAACUUGUAAUAUUUCUUAGAUGAAAAGUUUUAUCAAAUGUCUUGAAAAAAAAUACUAUACUUGAUCUUGAAAUAACUUUUUCAAAAAUAAAAUAAAUUACUUUAUAAGUGAAUAUAUUAUUCUAUCAAAGUAUAGUUAAAUGCCAAAAAUUUGUACGCGCAUAAAAAAUUGGGUAAACUUUAAAUAUCACCUCUGUGAUUUCGUACUUUUUCACUUUAGUACCAUGUGGUUUAAAGUGUAUCAAUUUAUUAUCCUGUGGCUUUUUUUUUUUCGUCAGCUUCUCAGUUAACAUUUCGUUAAAAUAUAUACAAAAAGAUUUAGGACCCCACACGUAGAUUUAUUGAAUAUUCACUUUAAUACCUUUUAGUUUUAACUUUGUCACUGAUUUAACGAAAAAAAAAUUAGUGGAGGGAAUCAUAAAAAGAGAAAAAUGAAACAACGAGAUACUAAAUUGAUACACUUUAAACUAUAUGGUAUUAAAAUAAAAAAAUAUAAACUACAAAAAUAAUAUUUGAUGUUUUUUCUAAAAAAUAAAACUAACUUUAAAUCACAAAAGAAAAUCUUUACAAUGAACAAGUUAUCACCGAUUAUUUUAUUCUAAACAUCUAGAGAGAGAGAGAGAGAGAGAGAGAGAGAGAGAGAGAGGGGCAUCGCGGACGAUGACGCACGAGGCAGCGGGAGGGAAGGAGAGAGUGAGUGAAAUGGAGAGAGGAAAUGAUAUUUGAAGAAAGUUAAUGUGGGCCACGAAUAACCCCGUGAAUAUUUAACACUCUUUAUAAAGAUCGCAAAUUAUCUAUCGACUUCGCGAAAGCAGUAAAUUAUUAGGGUAUUUGGCCUAACUUUUAAAAAGUGCUUUUUGUGUUGAAAAGUAAUUUUCGAUUCAAUAGAGCGUUUGGUAAUUUCAUUUUUAAAAUCUGAUUCUACCUUUCAGAAUCAGAAAACUGAUUUUGAAAGCCCAGCAUUAGAAGCAGAAAAAAAUUACUUUUUGAAAUCUGAUUCUGAUUUUGGACUCAAGCAUCAAAUUUUUAUUUUUUUUUUAAAUUUAAUGUUUAAAUUUAAAUUUAAAUUUAAAUUUAAAAUUUAAUUUUUAGAUUCAUUUUUGAAUUUUUAAAUUUUAACUUUUAAAUUUUAAAAUUUUAAAAAUAGAUUUCAAAUUUUAAAUUUUAAAUUUUAAAUUUUAAUUUUAAAUUUCAAAUCUCAAAAUUUAGAUUUUAAAUUUUCAAAUUUAAAUUUAAAAAUUUAAAAAUUUUAAAUUUUAAAUUUUAAAUUACAAGUUUUAAUCUUCAAAUUAUAAAUUUCAAAAUUUUAAAAUUAAAAUUUUUAAUUUUUAAAAUUUAAAUUUUAAAUAUUCAUAUUGUAAAUUUCAUAAUUAUUAAUGUAUAUUUAUAUUUUUAAAUAUUAAAAUUUUAUAUUUUAAAUUUCAUAGUUAUUUAUAUUUGUAAAUUUAUAUUUUAAAUUUUAAAUUUUAAAUUUCAAAUUUUAAAUUUUAAAUUUUUUAAAUUAAAAUAUCGAAUUUUAAAUUUUGUAUAAUUUUGAAAUUUAAAAAUUUUAAUUUUGAUUUUAAUUUAAAUUUAGAUUUUAAAUUAUUUUAAAAUAAAAUUUAAUAAAAAUAUUAAUUUACGCAAACGUCAAAAAAAAACUUUUAUCAAACCGCUUUUCAAAAUCACUUCAGAAAAAUCACUUUUAUCUAAACUUAGCCAAACACUCUGCAGUUUUUAACUAAAAUUACUUUUCAAAAUUAAAAUCACUUUUUCAUAAAUUAAUUUUUUAAAAUCUAGGCCAAACGGAUUCUUACUGUUUCAGUUAACAACGGUAAAUAAUUCAUCGCUUACUCGUACAACAACAUUAAAGAUAGUGAAUGAACUAUUUAUUGGGUAUAUUUCGCCCUUUUGACGCCACAUUGCAAGGCAAGAUUAUUUUUAAAAAUUAUUUUUAUAAAUAAUAAUAAAGCCCGAUCACAAGGCACUAAGUUUUUUCUGGCUUAAUUACAAGUGGGUAUCUGCGUGCGUUCAACGUGUUAUCGUUGUUUAGUGUGGCGCUUCCUCGGAGAGCAACGCGGCUGGGUCCCACUGCCUGCCGAUGCCCGCCACGUGUCACUGCCCAUACGGCGGAGGACGCUCUCAGGGGACAGGGAAAAGUAACAACAAAAGUGCAUGAAUCCCCUGCUACAAGGAUCGUACAAUAUCAUACUACUAGUACAUGUGGCGUCGUGCUAUUGGUGAACGUUUCUCACACAUACGAUGUGGCCAAUAAGAAAAUGCCACGUGUCGACGAAAGGCGAUCUAGUUUCAACGGCGUGCAAUGUAGGGGAUUUAGUGCCACAGAGGAACAGGACCCCACCCGCUAGCUAAUCCUCGUACGUAUAUGGCAAAAAGAAAAGAAAAAGACUAAAAGAAAAGAUUUUCUAUUAUUAUAGUAAAAAAAAAGGAUAUUGGCUUUAGCUACUGCUGUUGUUGGGAAAAGCCCUAGAUAGCUCUUCCUGCGCCCCUUGACUAAGUUGUUUUUUUUUCUCUCUGAUCUCUCUCUAGAGGAGAAUGGAUGUAUUAUUGGUAAGUAGUCUCUCUCCACUCCCUAACCUUCUUCACCAGCUUCUUGUUGGGUUCUGAGUAUCAAUCUUCUCUUCUAAGUUCUUUUGUUUUCUUGUUCUAGCUUUUGAGAUCUUGAUUAGAUCUGAGGAUAAGUAGAGAGAGAGAGAGAGAGAGAGAGAGAGAGAGAGAGGAAUGGGGAGAGGGAAGAUUGUGAUCCGCAAGAUCGACAACUUGACGAGCAGGCAGGUGACAUUCUCAAAGCGGCGCAACGGCCUUCUGAAGAAGGCGAAGGAGCUCUCUAUCCUCUGCGAUGCCGAGGUCGGCCUCAUCGUCUUCUCCAGCACCGGCCGCCUCCAUGAAUUUGCUAGCUCAAGGUAUCAGCACCCCCUCCCCCGGCCCUCUCUCCCACAUAUUUGAGUGCAAGAUUCAUAUGCUUGUUUAGGUAUUAUCAGCAUCAGACUAUAUAGUAAUAAUUAAAAAGAUAUUAAGAAUUAUAAUCACACAUUUUGGAUAGAACAAGCUAGAAUACCGACAUUUAUAUAAUAGUUUAGGCUGAUAUAUAUUAAGGGCGGUAAAGCAUGGAGAGAGAAACCAGAGAUUGAUGCAUGUACAUAUAUAUAUCUAUCUAUAUAGGGCCCCUAUCACAAGAGAUUGAUGCAGAAGGAUGGAGAGAAAACUAAUUAAUUUUCAUAGAAUGUAACAGGUAUAUGUAGACAGCCUAACAUGUUUGCCACUUAAACCUGUUAGUAAAAACAUGCAAAUCAGUAGAAGUACCAAGUUUAAUAUUUUUAAAAGUAAAACAAAAGGAACAAUAAAUUAACAACUCUAAAUUAUUUGUGCCUUCUUAAUUAACCUUCUGAGAAAGUGUCCUUGAUAUCAGUCUAUGAAUGAUUCAAUAUUCUCUAUCAGCAAAUAUCAUUUAUAUUAUUAGAUAAUGUGGUUAGGUUAUUAGAGAGUAAAUGGUUAGUACCACUUCUUCAUAAACCUAAACUAGUAGUUAAAUUUACUUGGGUAAACUUUAAUUAGUCCCCCUUGUCUCUCCAAAAAAAGAAAAAAAAAGAGAAAAAAAAGAGAGAAAAAAGAAGAAGAAGAAAGAAAAGAGAUUAGCCCUGAUCGACUCUUUUGUCUCAUUUGUACUUUGCCACUUUACUGUCUAGAAAGUUACACUGUGCUAUCCUGUAGGUUUAUUUUUAUUUUACCAUAAGGAUAUACCGUUAAAUAAAUUUGCAAAGUUCUAUAUCUUGUAAACAACGGGAUGUUAGAAAAGUGCUAUAAUUUACAUAUACCACAAUACCAAAAAUUGUAGUAUUUUAUCAUCCUAUAUAUGAUUUGUACUAUACCAUACUACAUAACUAUUACUCUAUUUAAUGGCCGUUUCUGACGAUGUAGCGCAAACAAAACUAUAGGAUAACAAAGUAAAGCGUACUCAAACUAACAAAGUGCAAAUCAGCUAUUAGUUUAUCAAGUUUACUUCACACAUAUAUAUUAGAAUCGAAGUACUUAUAAUCUAAAAAUAAUCAUGUUGCUUGUUGCUACCAGUGAUGGUGAUAGUUUGCUUUGCAUGUUACAACCUAGAAUCUUGAUUGUUCAUCACUGCGCUCAAAAUAAUUGAACUGAUGGAAGGGCUUAUGUUAGAUGGUUUUGAGAAAGAAAUCAAUAUCCUUAAAUGUGCAUUGCAUAGGUGGAGAAAACUAGGAAUGCCAUAGAGAGAAAUUGCAACACUUGUGUGAACAAGAUUAUGAAAUAGUAGAAAACAAAUGGUUUCGGACACAAUUAAUAAGAUGUCUUAACUAACAGAAAUACGAGUUUAUAAAAUGAACACUAGUUCAUCAUGUGAAAAGGUCAAUUAGUUCAGUACAUUUUCAUUAAUGGAAAAUUAAAAGAAUUUACUCUCUUGUUAUCAGGAUGAAGUCAAUAAUUGACCGCUACAACAAUACAAAGGGAGAGCAGCAUCAGGUGUUGAGCACAAUUUCUGAAGUUAAGGUAUGUAUACAUUAAUUUGUUUCCUGUAAGACUAUUAGCAUUAUAGCUAACAGAUAAAUAAGAAGAGUAAUACAUCUAUACUUUUUAUUUUUCAAUGCGCUUUACUCAUUCUUAUUUAUCUGUUCAAAUUUAAUUUUUGUUUAGUUGUAACCUGCAAUAACAGGUCACCUUGAGAGAGAUAUCGGUCAUCACGUACCCAAAAAAAAGAUAUUUUGGUCUUUUGAUUCUAGGAUAAUUAAGUAAUUUUAUCCCCACUAUAUUAUCUAAUCUAUUCUCUCUUUGUUUACUUUUUUUUUAAUUUCUCUAUCUUUCCUUUUAUUCACAUAUAUAUGUGAAGAGAAAUAAUUGUUUCGGGUUUGGAUUUUUGAGUUUGGGUUUGGGUAUCGAAUUUUUGGUGAGUUUUGGGUUUGGAUAUGGACUUUUGAAAUCCGUAGGGUUCGGAUAUAGAUUUUGGAAUAGACAGUUGGAUUUGGUUCAGGUUUUUGAAAAAUCUGAUCCAAAUCUAACCCGUUGACAUCACUAACCAUUGGUUCCUAACCAUUACCUGUUUUUUACCAAUAAUCUUAAGCUUUUUAAUUUGGCCAAUUUGCAUAAAAAAUCCAUUAGUUUUGAGCCUAUGCAGAAGUAGGCCGUCAUUUUGGAUUUUACAGAUUCUGGUCCGAUUUUCAGAAAACUGACCAAAAUACCCUUAUUCCCUUUUCUCUCUCCUUUUUUUUUCACUUGUUCUUUUUUUUCUUUCUCUCCGAAGGCGGAGGCGGAGAAGGAGACGGCCCGCCUCGCCUUUGUCCCGCAUGCCCUCGCCCUCGCCCUCGCCCAUGCACCCUCCCUCUAGCUUCCUCGCCCCGACCCCACCGAGGCGGCGCCUCGACCCACUUUUUUUUUUUUUUUUUUUUUUUUUCUCUCUCUCUCUCCAACCCCACUCAAUUGCCUCCCCGGCUCUUUACAACAGUAAAGAGAGUAACAUCACAUCCUCUUCCUCUCCUUUUUUCUCUCUCGUUCUUUCUUUUUUCUCUCCAACCCCCUUCUACCGCCUCCACGACCUUCCAUGAUGGUAACGAGCAUAGCACCACAUCCUCUUUCUCCGCCUUCGCCGGCGUAAGUACCGACGCCGGUGCCGGAGAAGGAGGACUCGGAGCAAGUGUGGGUGAGAGCGGAGUCGAGAAAAAAUAUGUAAAAAAUAAAAAAUAAAAAGAAUAAAGAAUAAAGCAUAAAGAAAAAUAGUUUUUUCUACAAGAAAAAUAAAGAAUCAGAGAGAAAAAAAGAAGAUAAUGAAUUUGCACUAUUUUAGGAUAAUGUUGCACUAUUUCAGAAAAACGUUGCACUGUUUUUGAAAAAAAUUAUCCUCUUUGAGAGAAAAAAUAUAAUUUUUUGGAUGAAAAUUGCAUUCUUUGAACGAAAAUUGCACUAUUUGGCCGAAAAUUGCACUAUUUUGUCAGGAAAAGGAGGAAGAGAAGGAGAAGAAAUAGUAUAAUUUUUGCCCAAAUAAAGUAUUUUUCGUUCAAAGAGUGCAACUUUCAUUUAAAAAAGUAUAUAUUUUUUUCUCAAAUAGUGUAAAUUUUCUCUAAAAUAGUGCAACGUUCCUCUAAAACAAUGCAACAUUCCUCUAAAAUAGUGCAAAUUCAUCAUUUUCUUCUUUUCUCUCUGGUUCUUCAUUUUUUUUUUAUAGGUAAAAUUAUUUUUCUUUAUAUUUUAUUCUUUAUCUUUUUAUUUUUUAUUUUCUAGCUCUUACCCACACUUGCUUUGAGUCCUUCUUCUCCAGCACCGGCGUCGGUGCCUGCAUUGGCGAAGGUGGAGGAAGAGAAUGCGGUGCUAUUUUCGUUACCAUCGUAGAGGGUCGCGGAGGCGGUAGAUGGGGUGGAGGGUCACGGAGCCGGUAGAUGGGGGUUGAAGAGGAAAAAAAAGAACGAGAGAAAAAAAAAGGAGAGGAAGAGAACGUGACACUGCCUUCUUUACUAUUGUAAAAAGUCAGGAAGGCGGUAGAGGAGAGUCGGAGAGAAAAAAAAAAAAGGAAAGUCGAGGUGCAGUCUCAGCGGGGUCGGAGACGAGGAAAGCAAAGAGAGAGUGCGCAGACGAGGGCGAGGGCGAGGGGAAAGGCGAGCGGGACAGAGGCCACGCAAGUUGCCUCUGCCUCCGCCUCCGCCGCCCUCUUCGGAGAGAAAGAAAAAAAGAACGAGAGAAAAAAAAAAAGAGGAGAGUGAAAAGGGAAUCGGCGUAUUUUAGUCAGUUUUCUGAAAAUUUGGCAUGAAUCUGCAAAAUCCAAAAAGGCACCUAUUUUUGCAAAAGCUCAAAACUAAUGGAUCUUUUAUGCAAAUUGGCCUUUUAAUUUUUACACUUAAAAUUAUGUUAAAAUGUUUAUUAUCUCUAAUGGUUAAAAUGUAAUUAUUUUUAAAACGUUUAUUAUCUCUAACGGUUCAAAAUUGCUCUUAAUCUUAUUCAGUUCAAAGGGUUGAACCAAACUGCUUGAUAGACUGGGCUACGGUCUGACCGGUAAAACCACUCGGUUCAAUCUGGUUUUUAAAUCAUUGAUACUAACAUAAUAUACUAUAUAAAUUAUUGAUAGUAAUCUUGAAGAAGAGAAUUCAAAUUCUUCUUAUUCAUUCAAUAAUGAAUUAUAAAGAUAUAUAUACAUAAAUGUUUCUAUAAUAAGAUAUUAAUCAUGACUUUCCAUAACACUCUCCCUCAAGUUGGAGCAUAGAUAUUAAUCAUGCCCAACUUGUUACAAAUAUAGUCAACCCGAGCUCCAUUCAAAGCUUUUGUAAAGAUAUCCCCCAACUGGUCUCCAAUCUUGAUACCCUGUUGAAAUGAUCUUCUGUUGUAUCUUUUCACGAAUAAAGUGACAAUCAAUCUCAAUGUGUUUAGUUCGCUCAUGAAAUACAGGAUUAGAAACAAUAUGGAGAGCAACUUGAUUAUCACACCAUAAUUUAAUGGGUUGUGGAUUAUUAAGACCAACCUCAUCCAAUAAUUGUUAUAUCCAUAUUACUUCACACACAGAUUGUGCCAUAGCCCUGUAUUCUGAUUCAGCACUAGAAUGGGAGAUAACACUCUACUUCUUACUUCUCCAUGACACCACGUUACCUCCAACAAAAACACAAUAUCCUGUAGUCGAUCUCCUAUCAACCUUUGAACUCGCCCAAUCUGCAUCUGAAAAGCAUUCAAUAUUUGAAUGUCCAUGGUUCUUGUAGAAGAUACCACGCCCUGGAGCUCCCUUCAGAUAACACAAAAUUUGUUCCAAAGCUUUCCAAUGAGUAACAGUCGGAGAAGACAUAAACUGACUUAACACACUAACGGAGUAUGCAAUAUCUGGUCGAGUCAUUGUAAGAUAGUUCAAUUUGCCAACUAAUCUUCUAUACCUCUUUGGAUCUUCAAACAAUUCAUCAUCAUUAGCUGUAAGUUGGAGAUUAGGAGCCAUUGGUGCACUGCAAGGUUUAGCUCCUAAUUUUUCUGUUUCUGCUAAUAAGUCAAGCACAUAUUUUCUUUGAGAUAAGAAGAUGCCUCUUUUACAUCUUGUAACUUCAAUACCCAAAAAAUACUUCAACAUCCCCAAGUCCUUUGUUUGAAAUUGGGUUUGAAGAAAAAGCUUGAGAGAUGAGAUUCCUGUAGUAUCAUUCCCAGUGAUGACAAUAGCAUCCACAUACACUACUAAUAGAAUUAUACCAGUCUCAAAAUGUCUAUAAAACAUAGAAUGAUCACACUUACUCUUCUUCAUGCAAAACUCCUGAACUACUUCACUGAAUCUGCCAAACCAAGCUCGAGGACUUUGCUUCAAGUCAUAUAAGGAUUUCCGAAGUCUACAAACUCGACCUAACUCCUCCUGAGCAACAAAAUCAGGUGGUUGCUUCAUAUAUACCUCUUCUUGAAGAUCACCAUGGAGAAAAGCAUUUUUAAUGUCCAGCUGGUGUAAAACCCAAUGAGAGGUCGUUGCCAACGAAAUAAAUAAGCGAAUAAAAGCAAGUUUAGCCACAGGAGAAAAAGUGUCGGAAUAAUCAACCCCAUAAGUUUGAGCAUAGCCUUUGGCAACAAGGCGGGCUUUUAGGCGAGCUACAGAAGCAUCUGGAUUCAUUUUCACAGUAAAUACCCAUUUGCAACCAAUAGCUCGCUUAUCGUAGGUAUGGGUACCAGUUCCCAAGUACCAUUAGCAUCUAAAGCCAUCAUUUCCUCUUCCAUUACAGCACACCAGCUAGGAUGAGACAAAUCUUCCACAACAAAUUUAGGAACAGAAACUGACUCAAGAGAGGUAAUGAAACAACGAGAAGAGGAUGACAAACAGUCAUAAGAAACAAAUGAUGAAAUAGGGUAAGUACACAUACGUUUGCCUUUGCGAAGAGCAAUGGGAAAAUCAGAGUCAGAAGCAAGGUCGGUAAUAGUAGUGACUAGAUCUUCCGACGAAGAAGCUGGUGGAGGAUCUGAGUCAGGAGUCGCCAAUCUCCUAGAAUAGACGUGAACAAUAGGGGGUCGAACAGGUGCCGAUGGAGCAGGAAUAAGUGUUGCAGGACUGGACACUUGUCUGAUAGUGUGAACAAGGAGAGCAUCUUCCUCCCCUAACUUUCAUAAAUAGAUAAAAGAGGAAAGAAUGGAGUAGAUUCAAAAAAUGUAACAUCUGCAGACACAAUAUAUCGAUCGAGAGUUGGAAAGAAGCACCGAUACCCCUUUCGCAUAUGAGAAUACCCAAGGAAGACGCACUUAAAGGACUUUGGAUCCAAUUUAGUUACCUGUGGACGAACAUCUCGCACAAAACACGUGCUACCAAAAAGACGAGGUUCAAUAAGAAAUAAAUAUUUAGAUGGAAACAAAAUAGUAUAAGGAAUAUCACCAUCCAAGACAGACGAAGGCAUGCGAUUAAUUAGAAAACAAGCUGUGGAAACUGCAUUAGCCCAAAAGUGUUUAGGAACUUUCAUUUGAAAAAGAAGGGCACGAGCUACCUCAAGGAGAUGUCGGUUUUUCUUUCAGCAACUCCAUUUUGGGAUGGAGUGUCAACACAUGAGGAUUGAUGAAGGAUGCCAUUCUGUGUCAUAUAACUGUGAAAAUUUUCUGAAAAAUAUUCUUUGGUAUUGUCACUUCGCAAUAUACGCACAAAAACAUUAAAUUGUGUUUUGAUUUCAGUACUUAAGGUACAAAAAAUUGAGAAUAGUUCUGAACGAUUUUUCAUUAAAUAUAACGGAGUAACACGAGAAUAAUCAUCCACAAAGAUAACAAAAUACUUAAAUCCUGAUUUGGAAAUAGUAGGACACAGACCCUAAAUAUCAGAAUGAACUAACUCAAAAGGGGACGAUGCCCGUUUAUUGACUCUAGACACAGAAGGUAAACGAUGAUGCUUAGCAAACUGACAUGACUCACACUCUAGACUGGACAAAAGUAGAAACUGCGAAAACAAUUUCUUCAAGGUGGAUAACGAAGGAUGUCCCAACCGACAAUGGACCUCAAAAAGAGUUAAAUUACUGGAGCAAGCAAGAGACCUUAGCACUUGGUUGUCAAGGAUAUAGAGACCUCCAGACUCAUGUCCUCUACCAAUAAUCUGUUUCGUCGUAAGAUCCUGAAACUAACAAUGAUCAGGAAAAAAUGAGACACAACAAUUUAAAGCCUGGGUGAGUUUACUAACAGAUAGUAAAUUGAAAGAAAAUUGGGGUAAACAUAAAACAAAUGACACAGAAAUUGAUGACAUUGGGUUUGCAAUGCCAGAAUCCAUGACACAAGAGGUAGAUCCAUCAGCUAAAGCAAUAGCAGAAAAUGUUAUAUGAGACUGAAAGGCAGAUAAUAGACUAGAGUUACCUGUCAUAUGGUCCGUAGCACCAGAAUCAAUGACCCAUUUGUAGUGGGAAGACACAAGGCAUAAUGUGGAUUUACCUGACUCGGCGAGUGCAGUGACAGAGGAACUGGUGGACUUUAAGGAUGCCUGAUAUGGGGAGAACUAUGCAAAUUUUUAAGCUGACACCAAAAUAGUUUUCUCUGAGAAUGGGAUUUCUCUGAGGAUGGGGUUGUAUGCUCCCCGGUUACCAUGUUGACUAUCUGAGAUCGUUGGUUCUUAUUUUGAAGUUUCAAACAUAAGCGCUUUGUAUGAUCAGGUUCAUGACAGUAAUAGCAAACAACUCCAAAAUCUCGAUUAGAGGCAAUCUCUCCAUAACAGUGAUUACCUCUAUUGGCAGUAAUCGCUCUAUUGCCCCCUUUACUAUUAUGUCGUCCAUUAUCAUUGCGACUCACAAGCGCGCUAUUAGUAGAUUGAGAAAAUUGAGGAAUCUCCGUACGAAGUACUCGUGUGAAAGUAUCAUGCAAAGUGGAUAUCACAGAGCUAGAAAGAAUUUGAGAUUUAGCUGUCUCAAAUUCUGGGGGUAAACCAGCAAGAAAACUCAUAACCGCUAUUUACUCGCGUUGAACCUGCUACACUUUUACAUCAGGACUAAAGGGUAACAAAACAUUAAGCUCUUCAUAAACACGUUUAAAGUCCAUAAAUAAGCUGUGAGAGACCUAUCUUGCUUCUCAGAUCGGUAAAAUACUUUACAAAUAUCAUAUAUGCGAGAGAGGUUCCUUUUGCCAGAGUAUAAAAAAAUCUAAAUAAUCUAUCAAUUCUUUCACAAACUCACAAUGUCACGCCCCGGAUUACACUUUCCCCGGGCACGCCGACAAAUCCGCCGUAUACAAAGGAAUUUCCCCUGUAUACGAAGCGAUAGCUGUACCUGUAAAUCAAACACUACUACAAACAGUAGUAGAGAGCUGCUAGAGAAAACUGAAGCUAAAUAAAACAGAGUUUCAUAUACAUAGUUCGGAUCCAAAAUACAGANAUAUUGCAGCAAGAAGGCUUCUCUCUCUCUCCCUACACGAAACUAUAUAGAGGGGAGUGAGGGAGAUACAAACGAGGCAAGGUAAAAAUACUAAAAAGCCCCUCACCUACUCUGGUGUACCGGUACACGGGAUCGCGUACCGGUACAGGAGCCAACCCGAGAGCAACCCGCGCGCGGCCCAGUGCAGUGUACCGGUACACCUUGAUGGCUGUACCGGUACGGCAAGCAGAAAAACUGCUAUUUGCAGAUUUUCUUCGCUGAAAGCUGCCCUCGCGUCGCACGGAGUCCGUUUUGCGUCUAUUUGGCGCCAACGCGACUCAGACCUGUCCCGACACUCUACAGAGCUGUCGACAAGCCUCCAGAGCUGAACACCAGGGAUCUCACACACAAUGAUUAAUAAGACUAAUUACCUCACUUUGAAUGGAGUUCCUUAGUUGUAAGAACAACCGAGCAUCUUCCCUCAGCCAAGCUUGCUUUGUAUCAUCGUUCGGUGGAUCGCUAGUUAGGUGAUCAUCCUUAUCAAUGCUUCGUAGAUAAACACGAAUUGUCUUGCCCCAUUCCAGAUAGUUGGAGCCAUUAAGUUUGUGUUCUGUGAUUUUGGUCAUUACCGGGAUUACAUCGGCAAUCACAGAUUUUGGCUCACUCUUAGCAGGCACAGUUUCAGACAUGGCGCCUUGGACAACGAGACCAAGUCACAAAGCAGCUCGCAGGGCUGCACUCUACACCUCGCUGCGAGGCAAAUAAAACAACCCUAGGUAUGUCACCUAAGGAUCAAAACAAAAACCAGAUGCACGAACCUUAAGUAGCACCGAUACUGUAGCGCCGAACUGUAGCAGUACUAUAGUGAUGUACUGUAGCAUUACUAUAGUACCAUACUGUAGCACCGUACUGUAGCGAUGACUGUAGUAGUACGUAGUGGUAGAGAAAAAAAAAAAAGAACGAGCAACGCUGAUGAGAUCCGGUGAGGGACAGCACUAGAUCGCUAUACCCUAGAAUUAGGGUUUUGCUCUGAUACCAUGAAGAAGAGAAUUUAAAUUCUUCUUAUUCAUUCAAUAAUGAAUUACAAAGAUAUAUAUACAUAAAUGUUUCUAUAAUAAGAUAUUAAUCAUGACUUUCCAUAACAAAUCCAAAACUUCUAUUUAUUGUUUAAAACUCGUCGAACUUGGCUGCAGUUUUGAGAUUGAUAGUUAGGUUCGUGUUCAUAUUUUUAAAAAUCUAGCUCUUAUUUGACCUGUUGACAUCACUAAUCAUUGGUUCCAAGCUACUACUUUUUUUUUACCACUAAUCUUAACUUUUUAAAUUUUUAGGGUAAUCUUCAAAUACCCCCCCUAUGGUUUCACACUUUCUCACUUUAGUACCCCGUGGUUUAAAGUGUAUCAAGUUAGCCUCUGUGGUUUCGCACGUUCUCACUUUAGUACCAUGUGGUUUAAAGUGUAUCAAGUUAGUACCCUAUAGUUUAAAGUGUAUCAAGUUAGUAUCCUAUGGUUACAACUUUUAAAAUUAAAAGUUGUAACACUUAACUCAGUACUAUUGUAGUUUUCUUACUAUUUCAUAAAUUGUGUAGUACAACUGAGUAAUUACUAAAAUAUUCACUUAAUCCUUAAAAAUGAUGAAAAAAAUUAACUAGUAAAUAGUUAAGGAUCUCUUUCAUUAACUUAUCUAAUUUGAAAGAAAAUAUAAGUUUCUUAUGCAUUCCCAAUAUUUUUAAGAAUAUAAUGUGUAUCUCAGAAAGUUUCUUAGCUGUACCAUAUAAUUUUAUGAGAUAGUGAUAAAAUUGUAAUAGUGAUAAGUACUACAGCUAUAUAUAUAUAUAUAUAGAUAGAGAGAGAGAGAGAGAGAGAGAGAGAGUUCGGCUGGAAUACUAUCGAUAGCACCAAGGAUUUGGUGCUAUCAAGUUUUCCACCACUAGAUUUAACCCUUUGAUUAUUUUUAUCCGUUAGAUUAUACUAUUCAACCAACCACUCACUCAACCCUAUGGGGCCCACAUCAUCCUACCCACACAUUUUUUAAUCCAAGGGCUAAAAAACUAAAAGCACCAAUUGCUUGGUGCUAUUGAUAGUAUUCUAGCCUAGUUCUCUCUCUCUCUCUUUCUCUCUCUCUCUCUCUCUCUCUCUCUCUCUCUCUCUCUAUAUAUAUAUAUAUAUAUAUAUAUAUAUAUAUAUAUAUAUAUAUAAAUAAAUGGGUAGUACGCUACAUGCUUUAUUCAUUGGAAAAAUGAACUUGGCUAUAAGCGUGAGGCAACAAGGCCUCAAGGAACAAGAAAAAAAUAAAAAGAGAACGAGUGCAAAAGAUAAAAAGUAGAAAAAAAGAGCCUCUUAGCGGCCACAAAAGUCUACCCACUGUCACCAUUGGGUCAAAGCAAUGAUAUAUAAAAAUUAGGCUAAAUUACAAAAAAACCCUCAUAUCAAAAUUCGAUUUUUCACUUUCUAUUCCUGUCAUUUAAAAACCUACAUUUUGCCCCCUAAAAAUUGAAAAAUGUUCACAGGGGGGUACGGUGUUAAUAAUAUUGAUAAAAUGAUCAAAAUGCCCUCUCCCUCUUCCCCACCUCCCUCAACCCUCCUUUAUCUGUAGAAGGGUAUUUUCGGUAUAAAAAUAUAUAAUAAUGGAUAUAGACGGAACCCUAACGGAACACUGACGGCGGGGUCCAAAGUGAAUAUUUAUUAUUUUUUAGGUGGGCAAAGUGUAGGUUUUUAAAUGAUAGGGAGGGAAAGUGAAAAAUCGGAUUUUGAUAGGGAAGUUUUUUGUAAUUUAGGCUAAAAAUUAUGUUGUUUCUCUCCUACUAUAUUAUCCACGACCAUAGAUUGGUGACGUAAUACUCAAUCUCUUCGCUACGUACAAACUGGGACUUCUUCUCCACCAUUAUCGUCCAACAAAUUCUUACAUCAUCAUUAACCCUUGAUUCUUAUGCCCCCUCUAGUAGUUUCACUAAUAAAAAUCUGUUGUACACACAUUUCAUGAAUAGAUGGUCAACUUUCUCGCACUCAACAGCACAAAAGACACAACACUAAUUCCCCAACCAUCCUCUCUUAAUUAAGUUAUCCACCAUGGGUAUUCUUUUCUUAAAGGCUAUCUACAAAAAUCUUCACUUUCAGUGGUAUUCUUAGUCUUCAAAUCAUCAAAGACUGAUUGUCUCUAAAACCCUCAUCGCUAAGCAUCUUAUUUGUACAUUGAAUUCACCAGUGUCAACCUGCCCCCGCGAAAGAGUAAUUUUAUUUGCCAGCCAUCUAGUCGCCUUUCAACUUUGUUAGUAAUCUCCAUCCAAUCCUCUUUCCUUAAUGUCCUACUUGAUAGAGGCAGGACCAUGUACUUAGUUGGGAACCUUCCAACCUUGAAGGCAAAAAUGUCCACCGGCUGCCUUGCCUUAUUUUCUCUACUAUCCAUGUAGAAUAUUUUUUACUUCGCUUUGUUAAUCUUGGCCCAAGAAACCUACUCAAAGAUAGAAGGUUUUUCCUAUACUUCCUUUUAGCCUUACAGAAAAAUAUCAUAUAGUCUGUGUACUAUAUGAAUGUUACCACACUAUCUUCUAUAAGUCCAAUCGCCUUAAGUAGAUUGGAUCUAGCUGCUCUUUUUUAUUAUUAUUAUGGCUAAGCAUUUUGCCACCAACACGAAAAGGAAGGGAAAUAGUGGAUCUCUUUGUUGCUCCCCUCGUUUCGUUUUAAUCCAUCUCAUAGCCUCUCCAUCGACCAUGAUAGCUGCCUUAGUAUAUAUUAUAAAUAUACUACUCUAUCCCCCCGUAUCAUUUCUCACCAAGCCCGACCAAUCCAUGAUUUUGAAACAAAUUUCGGUUGAUUUUAUCAUAUGCCUUCUCAAAGUCUACUUUCACCACAAUCCCUUCAUCAUUUCUUUACAUCCCCACAUAACAAAUUCAGUUGUUGUAAUAAAGAGUAUGAUAAGAGCCUCCCAUUUAAAAAAGCCGAUUGGAAGGGUGACAUAAUUCCUUGCAUAACUUCCUCCAGUUUGUUGAUGAGGACCUUAAAUUUUUUUUAUAUCUUGUUAAGUAAACUAAUAGGCCUAAAGUCAUUUGCUUGCUUAACUCCUAUUUUAGGAAUAAGACAAAUAUAGGAGUAGUUAAUAGGUCUUGUGAAUAGUUUUCCCUCAUACAGCUCUUGAAAGAUGUUACAAGUACCAUCCCUAAGUCCUUUCAAUGCUAUUUGAUGAUGGCGGCCUCUCUUUCGUCUUCCUCUGCCUACUACAUUAAUUUGCCGAUCUUUUAGUAUUGUUAUCUUGUUGAAAAGCAAUCACACCUCGCAUCUCCUCGUCUCUUCCAUUUGGUUGCCUAUCUCCAACCUACUCAUGGUUCUAGUCACCCCCGUCACUAGGCUUGCCUGGUGGUGGUGACAGGGGAGCACUAUGGUUGCUAUCUUUCCCCCUUUUGUAGCUAUCUAGAUGAACCAGGACAUUAAUACACUCAUAUCUAAGAACAAUUAAUGGACAAGUUUUGAGGGAUGUCCCUGUGGUUAUUGACUACCAAAUAACAUCCAAAUGCCCUCAGAUCCAUCUUGGUUUUACUUGUUUCAUCUGCUCACAGGGACUUUUUGAUGCUGCUAAUGAGCGCCACCCACCUAGCCACCAUCGAGCAUUCAAAUGCUAAUGAGCGCCACCCCCCUAGCCACCAUCUACUCGCAGGGACAUUUUGCCUUAUUAGGAUUUCCCCAUACACCCAUGCCAGAAGAAGAAUUAUAAAGUUUUGUUGUAAUACCCUAAGUCUUUGUUUGGUUGGAGGUUAAGGGGUGGAAUAACCACUUAACCCUCAUACUAUCUCUAAACACCUUCAAAAAUGGGUAGGGUUAGCUAAUCCCAUCUCAAAUGGGCUAUUCCGGAUUAACUAACCCCACCUAACCUCACGAAAUCCGAACCAAACAUUAUUUUCUAUUCAUAAUAACCCACUAUCCUUCUUAUCCUACCUACUCUAACCAAACACUAUUUUUCACUAUCUUGGACUAACUCCAACCCCCAACCAAACACAAAAAUACUCUAACCCCAGCUUAACCCUGAACUUAACCCUAUCCCUGGAAUAACUAGUUUUUUCUUAACCCCGAACCAAACGGUAGCUAAGAGUUCUAGAUUGGAUAAGGAAAGGGGUUCUGAUUAAGAAUAUAAGAGGCCAUACAGCAUAUUAGGUUUAAGCAUUUUAGGCCAAUGGUUAUUGUUGCUAGUGAGUUGGCUUGUUACAUUUGGUAUCAGAGACAGUUCAUCGGUUGGAAGUGUAAGGUAGGCCUUACAUCGCCUGGUAAUCUUGCAUUAUAUCUGUGAUUAGGCUGAGAAAGACAUUAGGGCUUAAACAGGAAAAGUUUGUGACACUCAUCCAUAUCGAAUUGGAACAGAGCUGUGAUUAGAAAUGUAAGGCACCACGGAGUCAUGAACCAUAGUGCUAACAGUUGGGCUUAAGUAUUUUGGAUCUGUGGUUUGGGUCCAACGAGUUAUUAUUGUUAGUAAAUCAGAUUGGUAUACCCGCUCUCUAUGUUUUGCAACAAAAAAAAUCAGCCGAUAUCUGCUAAAAUGACUAGCCAGAACAUUGGCAAUCAUUUGUAGUAGAGAGUAACCUAGAUUUGUCGAUUGCACCAUAUCUGUUAACAUCGCAUUUUGCUGUAGUUCCCUCUGCUUAAUACUACUCUGUAUAGGGUACAUAUGCUCUUGCAGCUAGAAUGCGUCCUCAUACACAGUGCACCCAUGUACAUUUUGGAGUUUCUCUAUCGAAGUCUCUCCUUGCACUAUUAAGCCCUAUGCCCCAUCCUUAGGCACCGGAGACAUAGGAUGGGAUCCUUGCACAUAGCCGCUAAAUGGUCUCUCACCAAACAGUGGAAGCACCUCCCAAUGAGCGAUUGUUUUAUCUCACCCUUAUCCUAACUUGCUCAAGUUCCAUUGUAUGGAUUGGCAGGUGCUUUCAUUACCAGCCUGGAGUAAUUCAGGAUGACCUCUGAUAGGAUUGGAAUGAUCUAGGAGGACCUCUUUAUAGGACUAGAAUGAUCUAGGAGGACUUUUGCUCGAGUAAGGAGGAGUAAUGGUAGGCAUAAUAUUGAGGUGAUUCCCUCACAAACUGAUAGCUAGAAAAUCUAAUUGUGUUGUUCUUUAUUUCUUGUAAAGCAUUAUCACCCUUUUUCACCCCUUUUCUUUACAAUAAAUAGGGCGGUUCCCUGCUUCAGCUCAUUCAAAGGACUAGUACGUGCAAGUUGCUCUUCAUAUGCCACCUAACUUAUCCACCUAAGCCACUCAUUUGAUCGCCGACGACUUCAUUUUCUAGUCCUCUCGUUUUUUCUCCCCCUUUUCAAUUCUAUUGUGGUUUCCUGUGUCUUCUCCCUUACAACCAUGAUGUCCGACGACUCGUCCAAGAAACAUUUGUCUCUAAUAUUGUUUCUCUAGGUUGGGCUCAAGCUUUGAUGGUAUCUUCGGUCCAUCAGUACUGCUCCUCACCGGUGGCUCAUGGCUUCCCUUUCGACCUUGCAGCGCCACCCAGGGUCCUUCACUGCUUUUGCCUUCUCUUUCUCACCGCUGACUCGUAGCUUCCUUCUGACCAUGUAGCGUCACCAGGGUCCUUUGAUGCCUCUUCCUCCUCCUCCUCGCUGAUGGCUCAUGUUUGUGUAAGAUAACUCUAAAUUCGUAGGGGGGGAAAUAAAUUUUUUUUUAAAAUAGGGGGUGAAGUGAAAAAAUAAAAAUUUACAAGGAGGUUUUCUAUAUUUUAGCUAUCAUUAAUGUAUCGGUAGAUGACUUAUGCAUAGAAUCUACAAUACAUUAAAGAAAGAUGAGGAACGGUCGUUUGUGGUAUGCUCACAUGCAAAGGAGAAAUAGAUACACCUCUUUAGGAAAGGCAUGGCAAGUCAAGAAAAUAAUGUCGAAAAGAUCUGGAGAAAAGCUAGAAAAAAUUCAAAUAAAGGUGAAAAUAAAAGAUUUAGAGAUAGCCAAGACCGCAAGUAAGGAUUUGUAUCUAGAUUCUUUUCUUCAAGUAAUUCAUACAAUAAAAGCACAUCUUGGGCUGAAUUAUGGGUGAGCAGAGGCACUUAAAUACUUAUUCCAUUUUUCUCUUUUUAAAGAAUCCAUCCCUUAGGAUACUUGAUUUGGCGGGCCUCUAAUGGUAACUGCAAUUAUAGACAACAGACCAAGUCCAAACUAACACAAAUUAUCCAGGUUUAAGUCAAUGUUCGAGUAAAAAAAAAAUGAAAUAAAAAAAUAAUAAAAAAAAAAAGAAAAAAAAGAGGGAAAAAUGUAAAAUUUGAAAAAAUAUCCCACUUCAAAAAAAAAAGGAAGGAAAGAAAAAAAAAUUUCAUACCUUAAUCAAGGUACCAUUCCUUUUCAAAAAAAUUUGAAUAGUUUUAAAAAAGGCACUAUAGCCAUUAGAGCUUAAAUAAGGAGGCCCCUGAAAAAAAAACAAGGCGGGCGGGCAUCAAAAAAAAAGAGGGAACCAAGAAAGGCAAAAAAAAAAAGAAAGAAGAAAAAAAAAGGCUGCGAAGAAAAAAAAAGCCUUUACUACUCUCCUCCUCUCCUCCUCUCGUCUCUCAUUCUCUCCUCUUCUCGUCUCUUGUGAUAACGGGCACCAAAGGGGAGCCCUUAUUGGUCUUGCUGGCAGAGGGCGGUGCCAUGUGCACCCCUCCUCCAAUCCGACACAGACACGAAUGCGAAUCGGCGACGACUCGACACGGCACGAACAACCGACACUUUCGACAAGGCCGAAGCACAAUAAUUCACAUACAACAAGGAGAUACGCAUGCGUACCAUAGCGUAGGUGUGAUAUUUUGUUGUUUGAUAAGACCCGACCAUCCUUCUGUAUAGGUUUCGAACGCUGGCAAAUCUAAACAUCAAAUAUCAUGAGUUCCGCCAUGCGAUUAUUGUAAUCUCCAAGCCGGUGCCGCAUCUUCGGAUAGGCUCGACAGUCAAAAUAUAAUGAUCGACAACUGGAGGUUUUAAUUACAUAGCGUGCGGCAUCUUCAGUAUGGCUCUGACAUGGGUAUAUCAAAAAAAAUCGUAGGGCAUCUAGCCGAUAGGCUCAGACACGGCUCAAAAUAAUGUCGAACCGGAGUUUUAUACGUAAGCAUUGCGGCUCAUCUUCUGUGAUAGGCUCGAUAUGGGUAUAAAAAAUCGUGGCGCAUCUCAAGCGUUGGCUCGACAAGAUAAACUCCGCAAAACCGACAAAAAAAUAACAUGAAGAAUGAUGAUAAUAAUGGACGGGUUUUGAUUCGUCAUAAAUUUCGAGACGAGAUUUUGACCAAAUAAACAAAAUACAAAAAUAAUAAUAAACAACACAAAGAAAACAAAAAAGAGAACAAAAAAGAAAUAAAAAAAAGGAAGUACCCUCCCUCUCUCUUCUCUCUCGUUUACAUACACACAGAGAGACGAGAGAAUUGGUUUUCCCCUCUCUGUCUUUCUCUGCCGCAAAAAAAAAAAAAAAAAAAAAAAAAAAAAAAAAACGAAAAAAAAAGAAGAAGAAAGAAUAGAAAAAAAGGAAAGAAAGAGAACUGAAAAAAAAAGAAAAAAAAAGAAAGAGAGUUGGGUUGCAACUCUUUUCACUCCCUCUCUGUCAGUGAAAAAAAAAAAAAGAAAGAAGAACAAAAAAAGAGAAGAAAAUCAGAAAAGAAAAAAAAAUCAAAAAAGAAGAGAGGAGUUGACCUCCCUCUCCCUCUGACGAUCAAAAAAAAAAAAAGGAAAAAAAGGAAACGAAAAAAAAAAGAAAAAAAAAAUAUAGAAAAAAAAACAAAUUGAAAAAAAGAGAAGAGUUGGACUCUCUCUCUGACAGUCAACAAAAAAAAAAAAAAAAUUAUUAUUCCCUCACUCUUAGUAAAAAAAAAGAGAGCAAAAAAAAAAAGAAAAAAAAAGAAAAAAAAAAAGAAAGGAAUAAAGGAAUUAAAUCGGAGUUAUUUAAUUCAAUGGGUUAAUCCAUUACGGGCCCAAUUUCAUAAGCAAUCAAAAAUAAUACAGAGCCCAUAUGCAAAUUCGGAUUCAAGGUCCAAAGCAUGUGAAGCCCAAGACUAAUCUCAGUCUACAUACAAAUUCGGGUCCAAGGCCCAAAACAUGUGGAGCCCGAAAUCCAGCCCAUGUGCAGAUAUAAAUCAAUAAAAGUCCAGCCCAUAUACAGGUUCGGGCCCAGAACAUGUAAAGCCCGCAGCAUACUUCAACCUACAUAUAGAUUCGGGUCCAAGGCCCAAAAUAGGCAAAGUCUGAAAUCCAUUUCAGCCCACAUUCAGAUUUGAACCCAAAGCCAAUAAAAACAUAUGAAUAAAAACCCAAACCCACAAAGUCCACAAAUAAAAACCCAAAAAUCCAAAAUCCACAAAGUCCACAAAUAAAGAUCCAAAACCCAAAGUCCACAAAGUCCACGAAUAAAGAUCCAAAACCGAAAGUUCACAAAUAAAAAUCCAAAAUCCAAAGUCUACAAAUAAAACCCAACCAAAUUUAUCAAACCUAUGUCACCCAAAUACCUCCAAUCCAAACCAAAUUCAUGGGUUUCCCAAAUGGGCCCCUCAUUAUGAAUUAAUUCUAUAAAUUAGUUUUUUGGGCUUUCCAAAUGUAUUCCCUAUCACGAAUUAAUUCUAUAAAUUAGUUUCAUGGGUUCUCUUUGCCAUAAAUUAAUAUUAUGAACCAAUGGGCUCUCCAAAUGGCCCCUAUCAUGAAUUAAUUUCAUCAAAUAACUUGGUGGACUUUACAAAUGGUCCCUACCAUGAAUUAAUUUCAUCAAAUAACUUGGUGGACUUUACAAAUGGUCCAUACCAUGAAUUAAUUUCAUCAAAUAACUUGGUGGACUUUACAAAUGGGCUCCUAGCAUUAUUUAAUUUCAUGAAUCAGUUUCAUGAAUACCUCGAUUUCAAUCGACCGAAAAGUCGUUAAACUAAACCCAAAUUCAAACGACCGAAAUGUCGCUAAACUAAACCCAUAUUCAAACGACCGAAAAGUCGUUAAACUAAACCCAAACCUGAAUGACCGAAAAGUCGUUAAACUAAACCCAAAUUCUUUAAACUAUAAACCAAAUCCAUACACCAAGUUCAUGAACCAUAUCCAAGUUCAUGAACCAAAUCCAUACACCGAGCCCAUGAACUAUAUCCAAGUUCAUGAAUCAAAUCCAUACACCAAACCCAUGAACCAUAUCCAAGUUCAUAAACCAAAUCCAUACACCAAACCCAUGAUCCAUAUCCAAGUUCAUGAACCAAAUCCAUAUGCCAAAUCCAUGAACCAUAUCCAAGUUCAUGAACCAAAUCCAUACACCGAAUUCAUGAACCAUAUCCAAGUUCAUGAACCAAAUCCAUAUACCAAAUCCAUGAACCAUAUCCAAGUUCAUGAACCAAGUUCAUACACCAAAUUCAUGAACCAUAUCCAAAUUCAUGAACCAAAUCUCAUGAGCCAAUACUCAAAUCUCAUGAACCAAUACCCAAAUCUCAUCGUGAACCUUUUUUUACUCUGGCACAUAUACCUAGAGUAAAAAUUAAAUAUCGACUACCCCUAAUACAUAUACUUAGGGCUAAGUCAAUCACCUUAGCACAUAUAACUAAGGCAAAAUAUCUCCAAAUCAACAGAGUUCUAAGUUAUAUACUUAGAAUUCAGUCAAAUGAUAUUCUGACUCUAAUAUAUAUACUUAGAGUUCAUCCGACUAACCCUAACACAUAUACUUAUGGUCUAGUCAGCCUUUUGCUCUAGCAUAUAUACCUAGAAUGGAAGUCAAACCAUGCCUGACUAACCCUAACACAUAUGCUUAGGGUCUAGUCAGUCUUUUACUCUAGCACAUAUACCUAGAGUGGAAGUCAAACCGUGCUCGACUAGUCCUAACCCAUAUACUUAGGGUCUAGUUAGCCUUUUGCUCUAGCACAUUACUUAGAGUGAAAAUCCUUACACCGAAUUCGAGUUAAAUCAGUUAUACUUAGUGUUCAAAUCAUACCCUUAAAUACAUGAUCUUAGGCACUUAGUGACCUUCAUUCUAGCACAUAUAACUAGAGUGAAACGUCGUAAUCUUCGGUACAUAUACUCUCGGGGAAUUAGCCACUCUCACUUCGGGAUAAUUCGACCACCAAUACAUAGUGAUUGGAGGUGUGGUCACAUCCUCACCUUGGAACUAACCAAGGUGAUAUAAUCGGACUCUAAGACAGGAUACUUAGAGCCAAUUGACUCUCAAUAAUAGAGAUUUAAUAUCGACUAGUCUAAAAGAUACUUAGGAUCUAGUUCGGAGCCAUCAAUAAUAUUACUUGAGUCUGGUCUACUUCUCACUGGAACAUAUACCAAGGUUGGAGCAUAUCAGACUCUAAGGAAAUUAUACUUAGAGCCAAUUGAUCGAGUACAUAGAGUCUACAUAGUUGACUAGGUUUUCUAACACAUCUACUAUAGACCUCACACCCGAGUCAAUUUCAAAUCCGACUUUUUCUAAUACUAAUAUACUUAGGAUUCAAUUUAUGCUAACAGAUGGGGGUAUGCCCCUGCUUAGCCAUGUUUAACUUGGCAAUCAUAUCAAUUAAAUUUUAUUUGCUCUGUUUGUGUCUCUUUUAUUUAUCAGCAUUUUAUAUUUGUUCUCUAAUCUGAGGGUUCUCCUUAACACCGAAUAGUGUGGGUAAUAAAGCAGAUUCUUGAGCUGUUGUAUAGCAUGAACCUAUAAUCUGUAUUCAAGUUAAAAAUAAACAAUUUAUCUUACCAUGAAUUACACUCGUCUUAGUAGGUUACAACUACGGGCGGGGGAACCGGUUCGUUCGCGCUGGCUGGACAGUCAAACUCAUUGAUUAAUCAUCCAACCACCAUAUCAAACAUAACAGAGAACUAAACCACAUAUGAAUCCUUCUUAUACUGUCUCUUGUUACAUGAUCACAUUUAGUUGGCUCCAUAUAGGUUUUGGUACAGAUAAUUAAAUGUCAAUGCAAGCUCUUUUCAAAGUCCUGUGGCGCAACUAUAAAAUUUCAUAACUAAUUUCUAUCAAUUAAUUUGUUUUUUGUAGAGUAAAACAUUCAACACAUUUGUAUUAAUUUCUGAUACUAAUGAAAAUCUUGCCCUGUAAACUGAACUCUUUGUUCUUCUUUCAACAGUUCUGGCAAAGGGAGGCAGCAAGCUUGAGGCAGCAAUUACAAGACUUGCACAAGAGUAAUAGGUACCAUUUCUGUACCUUGUAUUCCUUAAAUACACGCUUUUGAUCCAAUUGAAUCAUAAUCAAAGUCAACUUUCAUAUAAAAAGGUGUCGCAAUCUGAAAAAUCUUAUAAUCUGGAGUUAAUUACAACCAUUUGAAAGGCAUAGAUGUCUAUCCAAUGUUCCCAACAGCUCUAAUAUUCAAAGGCUAUGCGAAAAAUGCCAUCACAUGUUUUGCGAUUCAAUUGCUUGGAACCAUAUAAUCCUUUCUUUGAGCCUCUAACGUAGUAGGGCAGGGGUACGUAGUUCUAUAAACCCGCCUCUACACAACUACCUCUACCAGCGCCUUUUCUUGUAGUGAAAUUCCUCUCCUAAAUCAGUUGCUGCUAAAUCUCAUCUAGUCAUACUAUUCAGGUGAAUUACUAUUGAUCUUUCCAUUCGCAUCUCUGCAUUAAAAUCGGCAACAAUAUCUCAAAUAGUGCACCAUGAUUUUAUCUGUUUUCAGGUUAUUUCCACCUUAGAGGAAGCUUCAUUUAUCAUCUUUUUGCUCCAAGCAUCAAAUCAUUUACCUAGUUCAUAUCUCUACUAUACUAAUUUAAUUAACAUGCUUUUCUCUGGCUGUCAAAAUUGGUAUUUUAUGUAGUUUUCAAUUUUAGUUGCAAUUCUGAACAAAAUCUAUGAUCUCGUUAAUUCGAUAUUACUUCUAAUUUUCAUUAUUGCAUAUUCUAUGCGAUUCUAUGAGUAUGCAGACAUAUAUACUUCCCUAUCUCGUUAUUGUUGGUUAGCUAGCAAUUUCCUCGCGCACUCAUGAACCAGCGAACCCGAAAUUUUUUCCCUGCUAAUGGAUACAACAUGACAACAGAAAUUUCUCUCCUAAUCAUGAGAGUUCUACCGACCGUCCCUAGAGUAAGCGGCAAAAGGCUUGGUGGUCGGUACCCGAGGUCCCAAGUUCGAAUCCUAGUUGAUUCACAUUUUCAGCUGGGUUUAUUUCUAAAUGAAAUAAACGAAACGGAUAGUGUGCUAUCUAUCUCUCAAAAAAAUCAUAAGAGUUCUCAUUCCAGACCUAUCUUCAUGUAUAUAUGGUGGCAUGUAAAAUUAAAAAUGAUCCAAAUUGAAAUUUGCUUUUUUAAAUUAAAUUCUUGGAUAUAAAUAAUUUAAAAUUUUAUAGAAUUUAUGUGUUCAUGAUCUUUCCCAUGAGAAAAGAUAACACGAUGAGCCAGGAAAUGGAAAGGAUUUUAUUCCCUUAGGUAAGCAAAAUAGACCCGCGCCACGGGGCUGGCUCAAAAUACUUGGAGGGGCUCCUGGUCACUGUCCCGUCGCAUUACCAUUCCUAAGUACAGUAGGCAAAUGGUUUCCUAGAUAUUGUAGAAAAAUGAUGUAAAAAUAUAUUACCAAACACAAAAAAAACACCAUAGUCCACAAAUAAAUGAGUCACUCUAUAUCCAAAAUAGUUUUUGGAAACAUUAACUUUUCAUUGCAGGCGACUGAUCGGAGAAGAGCUAUCUGACUUAAGUGUCAAAGAUCUUCAAGGUUUAGAGAAGCGAGUUGAAAUGAGUUUGUGCUCUAUCAGAAAGACGAAGGUUCUCAAAACAAUGGUCAUUCUAGUAUAAAUAUGUUUUAUUUUAUUUUUUCUAAUUCUUUUGCAUUCCUUCAUCCACAAAAUUCAUCCUUUUAUGGUUACUUUUAGGAGAAAAUUUUACGAGAUGAAAUCGCAGAGCUCAACCGAAAGGUUCGUCAACAAAUAAAUGUUCAUUCUAUCAUAUUUACGUGGAAUAUUAAUGCAUGCAAUGUAAUAUAUUCGCGGGCGUAACACAAUUUCAAUUUACAUUGCAGGGUUAUCUAGUACAUAAUGAGAACAUUGAACUCCACAAGAAGGCGAACCUCGUAUAUCAGGAAAAUAUUGAAUUAAACAACAAGGUAAUGGGGAAAUAAAAAAAAAAAAAACCCAAAUUUUCAAUGUAAUAGUUAAGUUUCCAUACCUAAGCAGAGAAGUUUAUUAAUUAGCAGGUUCAGGAGGCAAGCGGAUCAAGUGGUGGAACCACCAAAGCUUCGAUUAUUCCGUUUGUUUUUACUGUAGCAGAAGAUGAAGAAGAACUCGUUCAUCUUCAGUUAUGCCAUCCCCAACAGCAAGGAGAUAGGACAUAAUCAAGAACUCUACGGCUGGAGCGAUUUCCUAAUAGUUUGAAAAAGGUCUUCUCUAUCACAGUUAUUUCACAUAAGAUUUGCGACAUCCAGUAAUAAGCUUCCACAUUAAUACCUCAUCCAGUAAUAAGCUUCCACAUUAAUACCUCUUAUUAGAUUUUUUUUUUUUUUUUUUUAUCAUCCUACAUGGCAUAAUAAGAUUGGUUUGAGGUAUAUUAUAUGUGUUGCAAGUGUCUUAUAUUAAAGAUCUUUUUCCUAACUUGUCCCACAUUUCAAUUUCAUUUUUAUGGUUUCAAUCAUAAGAAAUUGCAUUGCAAUCGUGUAUGUAUGUACUAUCUAAAAAUGGUGCCAUGUAAGCAACUUCAUUAUAAGUUGUGCUUAUUGAAAAUAGAUUUUUUUUUUUUUUUGAGAGAGAGAGGUAGCACUCUACCCGCUUCGUUUAUUUCAUUUAGAAAUAAACUUAGCUGGAUAUGUGAAGCAAUUAGGAUUCGAAUUAACUUGAGACCUCGGGUACCAAACACCUAGCCCUUUGCCGCUUGCUCUAGGGACGGUCGGUAAAAAAAUAGGUGUGAACCUUCGGAGACUGAAUUGAUAGAAUCGAACUUUUGAAUAUAAAAAUGGAAAUAGGAGUCAAAGUAUGGGAACUAAUUAGGGGUCGUUUGGAUUGUUGAACCGAUGAUUUGAUUGUAAAUAAAGUUUAUGGAGAAAAAAUUAACAGUUUUACUAUCCAUUAUGAAGGUACCAAAAAAAUGCGGUAGAUAUUCAUGCGCUUAAAUUCUUAAAAUAAAUACCUUCUGAAAUGAUUCCAAGUCAUCUUUUUGUGAAAAAAAACGAAAUUCUAGCCAUAGACUAGGACAAUGAAUCUCCUCGGCAUUACGCUAAUUUAUGGCGAGUCCAUCAUCAUUUUUUAUUUUUAUUAAACUUGAUUAUUCAAUGGAACUACAAUUAUGUGAAUCCAAAACCCCAUAAAUUAAAAUGGUUCAGUUCAAGCUCUAACUGAAAUACGUAUCAAGCUUCAGCUUAACUACUAUAUAUCUGGACGUCACGAAUAUGAAUACAGAACACGAGACACGACACGAUUUGGACAUAGUGACUCGGCAACUUUUAAAAAAUUAGGACAUGAACACGACAUGGAUAAUGCUAAUAAUAUAACAGACACGAAUACAGAACAUGAGACAACACGAUUCGAACAUGGCGACUCGACAACUUUUAAAAAACUAGGACACGAACACGAUAUGGAUACAUGAACACGACAUGUAUACUAUAUAUAUCUAGACGUCACGGAUACGAAUACAAAACACGAGACACGAUACAAUUCGGACAUAGCGACUUGGCAACUUUUCAAAAAUUAGGACACGAGCACGAUUUGGAUACUGCUAAUAAUAUAAUAAUAUAUUUUUAUUAUAUAUAAAAUAUUAGUUUUGUUAAAAUAUUUUUAUAUUUUCAUACGAAUAAAAGUAAUUAAUAAAAUUUUCAUUGAUAAUUUAUAUAUUUUAAGUAAAAAAAUUCUCAACUAUGUAUAAUUUAUUUAUUUUGUCAAAAAAAAACUUAUAUGUAUUCAUCAAAAAACCAAAAAUAUAUCUCAUCUAACUUCAUAUAUGCAUAACCGACCGUCCCUAGCGCAAGUGGCAAAAAGGCUUAGUAGUUGGUACCCGAGACCUAAAUUUGAAUCCUAGUUGAUUUACAUUUCCAGCCAAGUUUAUUUCUAAAUGAAAUAAACGAAGCGGGUAGCAUGCUACCUAUCUCUAAAAAAAAAAAACUUCAUAUAUGCAUAAAAAAAUAAAAAUAGAAAUAUUUUUUUAAUGGGAUGCGUUAUGAACCUAUUUCUAACGCGUGUUCAUGACGUGUCUCAGUGUCUGUGUCGAACAUGUUAGGAUUUGGUUAGAUUUGUAGAUUAAUUCUAGUUGGAUAAGAAUUAAUAUUUAAAUCUGUUGGAGAUAAAUUAAUAUUUAAAUAUUAAUUAGAGUAUGAUAAAUAUUUAAAUCUAUUAGAGAUAAAUGAUAUAUAGAUUUAAAUAUUUAUUGGAGUAGGAAUCCUAAUUAGACUAGGAUUCGCGUACGUUUUACAGGAUGCAUUGUAAAAGCACCCUUUGCGAUGCUUUUGGAGUAGAGAGUAUGGCCAAGUUGAGAUUCUUGAGGAGGGUACGAUGAGGUGUCUUGAAGCCAUUAGUGGACCCUACCAAAUAGAAACUUCGUCAUGAGUUGCAUGCACCUAGUGCACAAGUGCAUGUGAGAGAGAAAAAGGAGAGUUUGUCUUCUUUGUGGGUUUAUAGAAGACAAGAAAAGGGUAAGAGAGAUUCAAAAAGAGGGCUCGGGUUGUAACUACUCUAUGCAGAAAAGGAGUCAGGUGUAAUCUUCUCUUAUUUAAUGAAUCUUAUUUUACCCGCAAAUUUUCUAUUUUGGUUUUUCUCUCUUUUGUGAUCGUAUCAGCUUUUAAUUUGCUGAGAAAACGGGUUUAUGGUAAAAUCCAAUUCGACGCUUCCGUUGCGGAAUCCCAACAAUCGGUACCGGAUCCACAACAGUCGGUAUCGGAGUGGGUUGCGAAUUCUCAAAAUCCGAUAUCGAGGCGAGUACCGGAUUCCCAACAGAACACGCACGUCACUACAACAAAAACGGUCUAUAGCGACACUUUUAAAUGUAGAUACAUGUCAAAAAAGUACCGCUAGCUAAAAUUACCGACACUUUUAAAAAGUAUUGCUAUAUGUGGGGUUGCUAGGUAUAUAGUGACAGUUAAAGAGUGUCGCUAUAACCUAAAAAAGUGCUGUUAAUUUACCAACACUUAUUUAAGCAUUUAGCAACCGCCGAAACUCUAUCUCGUUCGCUGCGGUGGCGGAGGAGGACGACAGGAAAAGCUCUUCGUCUAGAAUUUCAGUGGAUUGAGUGAAGAGAGAAGAAAAGAUGGUAAUUGAUUUUUCUUUUUUUUUUUCUUUUCUGUUUGUAAUCGGGCCAAAUGGACUGGGUGUGGUGGGUUGAGUAGAGUAAUCUUUUAUUUUUGAUUGGAUUGAGCUUUAUAUUUAGGCAUUAGUAAAUAUUUUUUUAAGUUUUAACAUAAAUGGAACACUUACUCAAAAGUGUCCCAAACAUGUGUCCCUAUAACCUAAUUCUGUUGUAGUGUGUCCGGCAUGGACAUGCACGAAUUAUAGAAAUGUCCAUUAUACACAGUUGCAUAUUUAACCACUAGUUUAAUUAAUUUUUCUUACCUUCAGUAUUGCUGCAGACAUCAAUUGCAACUAAACAAAAAGGAUUUGUCACGAGAAGUGCUUUUGCAUCACCUCAAAUGCUGAGACAUUUAGGGUAUGUUUGUUUGGAUGAAAGUGGGGUGGAAGUGAAGAGAAUGAAAGUCGUUUUCACCGUAAACGAUAACUUUCGGCCCAAAAUUCUUAAACCCGGUUAUUAUUACUAGUUCAUAUCUGAUGUGGGAUUAUUGGGGUGUGACAGACUCCUCCCGUUAAGGCCCUGACGUCCUCGUCAGUCACGUCAGUCCAGUCACACACACAGCCGAAGAUCACCAGGCGAUGUGAGACUCGUCUCACUAGCCUUGUCAUCCAGACCUUGGCAUAGCCGGUUAUCUUAUCAUAAAGACUCCGGCAUAGCCUAUCACCUUGUCUUUCAGACCCUGGCUCAACCAAGACUCGCCACACAUUUCCAGCUGGUGAUUGGCUCUGAUACCAAAUGUAACGACUCAGCCCACUAGUAACAAUAGCUCGUUGGGCCCAACCACCGGGCCAAAAUGAUUAAGCACAGUUAUUAUUACUAGUAUUUAAGUCUCUUAUAUACCCAAUCAUAUCCCCAUUCAUAUCCGAUGUGGAAUUAUUAGGGUGUGACAGUUAUGAUCGAAACUCGAGUUAACCUAAAACGGCGUAAUUGACUUCGGCCCAUCGUGAGUUGAAAUCAAUUACGAUGAAGAGAUAUGAAGAAAAAAUAAUAAAAUAAUAUAUUAGAAAAAGAUAGUUAUAUUUAAUUAAAUAUAUUUAAUUAUGAUACUAAUUACUCUUUUAUUCAGUUGACAUAUUUAAAAUAUGAUAAAAAUUGAUUAGUUAAAUUUUAAUAUGUUCUUUAUUUAAUUUGUAUAAUUAAAAUAUGAUAAAAAUUAAUUAAUUAAUUAAUAAUCUUUUUUAACUUUAUAAUUUUAUUGUCGUAUUACUAUAAUUUAUGUAUAAAAAAUAAUAUAAUUAUUUUAAAUUAAAUUUUUGUCACGCCCCGGAUGUCUCGUUCCCCGGGCACGUCGACAAAUCCGCCGUAUACAAAAAAAAUUUUCCUGUAUACGAAGCGACAGCUGUACCUGUAAGUCAAACACUACUACGAACAGUAGUAGAGAGCUGCUAGAGAAAACAGAAGUUAAACAAACUGAGUUUCAUAUACAUAGUCCAAAUCCAAAAUACAGAGUUACUCGCACUGGCGAGUUAAGUCUACUAUGUACAUAAACUCGAAACAAAACAUCUACCUGCAGUACGGGUGCCUCUAGCUCUGCUCGUCGGGUAGGGCUGUAACUCGCAACGCCCUUGCCUCGAUCCUGAUCCGCGGAAGACGCAGCAGCCGAAACCUGUGGCUCUGCAAAACAAGAGUAACAACUGGGCGUGAGAACUACUACAAAACAAGUAGUCCUCAGUGGGUACCGCCCAAAACAACAUCGGUCACCCACUAAGUCUACAGAAGGGAGCAAGGAUAGUAGGAAAAGCAGGAAGUACACUCUACCGCUAUCAAUCACUACACUAUCAUGCUCUACGCUAACCAACUGUAGCAAAUGUCAAAUGACCCAAUUCAAUUCGGGACUGUAAGCAUA
This 77390-nucleotide long non-coding RNA is filed under the name Ananas comosus (pineapple). Its description in RNAcentral is "long non-coding RNA (ACOM_LNC023569)". Lineage: Eukaryota; Viridiplantae; Streptophyta; Magnoliopsida; Poales; Bromeliaceae. The record is from RNAcentral.